GUAAAGGAAGUACCAAAGCUUGGUAUGGAAGCAGCAUUGAAAGCCAUCAAAGAAUGGGGACAACCCAUUUCAAAGAUCACUCACCUUAUAUUUUGCACAUCAUCAGGGAUAGACAUGCCUAGUGCUGACCAUAAGCUUGCUAAUCUUAUUGGCCUCAAACCCUCUGUUCAGAGAUUCAUGAUUUAUAAUCAAGGUUGCUUUGCUGGAGCCACUGCCCUGCACCUUGCCAAGGAUUUGGCCGAGAACAAUGCUAGUGCUCGUGUACUUAUUGUUUGCUCCGAGAACAUGAUCAUGAGUUUCCAACCACCUUCGGAGACCCAUUUAGACAUACUCAUUGGCUCCGCCAUAUUUUUUGAUGGGGCAGCGACUUUGAUUGUUGGUGCUAAUCCUAUUGUCAGCAUCAACGAGUGCCCUUUAUUUCAAAUUGUAUCAGCAAAUCAAAGCAUUAUCCCUGAAUCCGAUGAUUUACUAAUAGGAAAAAUACGUGAAAUGGGGAUGGAGUAUUAUUUAUCGAGAAAUUUGCAUCAGUACGUGUCUAACAACAUCAAGCAAUGCAUGGUCGAAGCGUUUACUCCAUUUGGAAUCAGGGAAUGGGAAAAUUUGUUUUAUAUAGUUCAUCCUAGUGGAGUAGCUAUUCUUAAUGGAAUUGAAGAGAAACUUGGGUUGAAUAAGGAGAGGCUUAGAGCAAGUAGGCAUGUGCUAAGUGAAUAUGGAAACAUGUGGGGUCCAAGUGUAACACCCCUAACCCGAAUCCAUCGUCAGAACAGGGUUACAGAGCAUUACCAAAAUUUACAGAUUGAUUUUUAGACGUUUCAUUUCAUCUAGCAUUCAUAUUUGAAACCAAUCAAAAUUAAAACAUUAAUGAGCCAACGUUGGCUAAAAUUAACUUAUACAUGCCAUUAUAACUAGAAUCAAAUCAUCCGAAAUUACCGGUAGAACCAAUGGAUAGUGUGAUAUAUCUCUGACAAGCUUCCAACCCAAUCGAACUUUUGAUAAUCUGUAGGGUAAAUAAAAAAAUACGUAAGCAACGAAUGCUUAGUAAGCUCAUGUAGUCUUUAAUCAUAUUAGUUCUUUUAAAAUAUUAAAUCUAUACAUAUCAAGGAUAACCCAAUAUUAGUUCUUUUAAAAUAUUAAAUCUAUUCAUCAACUUACAAGGUGAAUAAAUCCACAGUAUCACUUAAACAUAUUAUCCCAAGCUUAGUAGGAUUUUAUAUAACUUUAACUCUUGAUAAUUUCUUUAUUUUCAUUUGCAUUUCUUCACUUUCCACGCUUGUUCCAUAUGCAUGUCACACAAGUCCUAAACAUAUCAUUCAACCAUGGUCACAAACUAGUGCAUUUACCCAGAUCCUUUCCUGAACUGAUUACAUGAUAAGUCAUUUCAUAAGAAAUUGCAUAAUUUAAACCAUACCACUUUUUCAUGAACACUAGCAUAUUUUCCUUCAAAUACUUAUCAAUUCAAUGCUUCCAUUAAAAAAAUCAAAUUACUAUUCAACCAAUAGCUUGGCACUUGCCUAAGCAUCAAGCAACAAUACUGAUUAGUGUACUUGCACACAUUACAUAUAAACUCAUCAUGCAUAAUUUUCUUGUUUCAACAUAUUAAAGAUAAUCAUACAUUUACAUGUCAUGAUACAUAUCAUUCUCUUAUCGUUUCUUAAUAGGUAUAUAUCAUUCAUUUCAUUAUUUCAAUAUUUCAUGUACCAUCAUUUUUAUGAAUUUCGCGUACAUACCGGUAAUAGUUCUCAUGUUAUCUCACUUCAAAACUUUACCCGUUAUAUCAUUUAAAUAUCAAUGGUUACAUUUAUUUUAGAUCAAUACCAAUAAUAAUCUAUAAAUCUUUCAAUUCAACCACAAAAGUCUUUUACCGUUUCUUUCUGUAUCGAAGAACGACUUACGGAUAUGAGUACAUCGUUUUCAGAAGCCCGAAGGCUGAACUUAAGCUCAUGAGAGCUAAACAGAUAGUAAACACAAAAGUCUGCAACAAAUGCUGAACAUCGGUUUACUUGGGUAAUUUACUGUCAAUUCCUCCUUUACAUUUGUAAUGCCAUAGCCCAGUUAUGGUCUUAUCUGUCAAUUCAUCCUUUGGCACAGAACGAUUGUACUCAAUCCCGCGUUCAAUCCAAACUGGGUAUUAAAUUCGAUAAUAUAUUUCCAAUAAUAAUUCAAUUCCAUAUUUUCUAUUACCCUUAUUAUUUUCCAUAUUUAUCCCGUUGAACUACUUGGAAUUUCGAUGGAUUUUCAGGGGUACACCUAAGUGUACAAAUCCGAGUCCGUCAAUUCAUAUUCAUGUGUACACAUUUCCAUUUCAGAGAGCACACUCCCGCGAACCUCAUCCUUAUAGCGGGAUUACCAGUCCAGGCUAAAUCCCCUGUAAUAUAAACUCAUAGAGUAUUGUCGGGAUUACUAGUCCAGGCUAAAUCCCCUGCAAUGACAAUUACUCUAAUGAGCUUGGAUCUGAAUUACCAAUCCAGGCUCAAUUCAGACCCUAAUUCGGAUUACCCGUCUAGGCUAAAUCCAUUUUCCACAUAUUCUUCGGGAGGGCUAUAUCAGGAUAGGAUCACCAAUCCGGGCUAGAUCCUUUUUACCAUCAAUUCCUUUUCAGAGAUCCAUCGAAUUUUUCUUUCAUUCAACCGGGAUUUCUUCCCCUUUUUAUAAACUAUAUCAAUGUUUCAUCAAUUUUCAUAUAAUGAACAUUCAAAUCAUAUUCACAUCAAUAACAUACAUUUCAAGCAUUUAAGAAUAUAAUUCAAGUUAGACAAACUUACAAGGCUAAAUUACAGAAAUACCAAAAUUCAGGGACAUUUUAAUACUUUUCCAUUUUCCUCGAAUUUCCACCCAAUCUUGAUCUAAAUUAAUAUUUCAUUAAAUUUAUUAAUUUAAAUAAUAAAACAAUUCAUUUCAUGCAAUUUGGUCAUUUUUGACAUUUUUACAAAAUUACCCUUAAAAUUUCACUUUUAUUCAUUUUAGUCCCCGAAUCUAAAACAUGUAAAUUAGCUACUUUAAAAUAAACUCAUAUUAUCUGAAUAUUCACAUAUAUUUUUCAUCCUCCUCCACUCUAUUCCACAUCCUUGAUAUAUACAUAAUACCACUAUUUACUUGUUUACUCAUAACAAGCUGUUCACUUGAGUUAUAGUCACUAAAUUAAUUAUAUCUUAAGCUACAGAACUUCAAAUUGAGAUCCGAAAAUUUUCCAUGAAACAAGACUCACAUAUAUUUUUACCAUAAAAUUUUCAUAAUUUUUGGUUUAGCCAAUAAGUACAGUUUAUUCUUUAAAGUUUUCCCUGUUUCACUCUUUAACAGUUCUUACCCCUUUUCACUAAAAAUUAAUUAUCUCUUUGUACAGAAUUCAGAUGAUGUUCUCGUUUGUUUCUAUUGAAAAUAUACUCAUUCAGAAUUUUAAACAUAUGAAUUUAAUCCUCUAAUUAUUUUUAUUUAUUUUUUUAUGAUUUUCCAAAGACAGGACAGGGAAACCCAAAUUCAUUCUGACCUUAUCUCACAAAAUUUAUUAUAUCUCAUGAUUUACAAUUACAUUACUUACAACAUUUCUUCUAUGAGAAACUAGACUUAAUAAUAUUUAAUUUCAUAUUUUUUUCAUUCUCUAAUUCGAUUUUCAUAAUUUAUGGUGAUUUUUCAAAGUUAUCCUACUGUUGCUGUCCAAAACUGUUUUAGUGCAAGAUGUUUACUACCAUGUUUAUAACACCCUUACUUUCUUUCUCUACACUAUUUCUCAUCACUUUCUCUUAUUUUCUCUUCACUAACAUAUCAAGAACACAAGACCUUAUAUAAGAAAACUCUACUAUAACAUUAAUUUCCUACUUUUUCAAUAAUAUCCAACUCAAAAAUAUAUUGAAAUCUUGAUGUUCUUACCUUGUGCUAUUGAUUUCAAUCUUUAACUUGAUUUUCUCUCUCCUCCAGCUUCUAUUUCUUGAAUCUAAUUUGAUAUUCUAGCUCCCCAUUGUCUCCUUAUUAUUUUUCUCUUUUGGAAGCUAUGGAAAUUCUUUUGAUUUCUAAGUGAAAAUAGUGAAUUUUUGGUAAAAGGACCAAAUUGUAAAGAAAAGAAAGUUUCUUUCUUUCUUUUCUCCCCACAUGUUGGAAUGCAUGAGAGGUUGAUGAUGAUUUUUCAUCUUCCUUUUCUUAUAUAUAUACUAAAUAAAAUAAUAAUAAAAUAAUAAAAUAUCAUUUAAAAAUCAAAUUAAAAUAUUAAUAAACUAAUAUUUAUUUAUUUAAUUAAUCUAAAAUAUCUCCAGCAUCAUCAUUAUCUUCUAGUUUUCUCUCUAUUCUAAUUGAACAUUUUGCCCUUUAUGAUCUUUUAAAAUUUCAUCCUUAAGUCAUCACUUAAUUUGGUAAAAUUGUAAUUUAGUCCCUCAAAAUUCUUCACCUUUUUCAAGUUGGUCCUAAUCCAUCCAUUUUCCUUAGUUUCUAGAUCAUUCCACCCUUAAAAUAUUUACACCAUUGGUCCUUUAAAUUUUUAUAUUUACACUUUAACCCCUCAAAUUUUGAGUAUUUACUCUUGGGCAACAAAACGUUUCUCACUUUUACGAUUUAAUCCUUUCUUGAACUAAUAUGUCAUAAUAAUACUUCCCAAUGUUGACAUAACUCCAAAUUUUCCCUUUUUGUCGCUUUAUUUCCUUAUUUUAUUAUAUCAAAGAUAAUAUAUUACUGUAAAAAAAAUUUUGGGGUAUUACACCAAGCGUGAUCUUUGUUCUUAAUGAGAUGAGGAAAAUGUCGGUGUUGGAAGGCAAAGCCACCACAGGUGAAGGUCUUGAGUGGGGCGUGUUGUUCGAGUUUGGGCCAGGUCUCACGGUGGAGACAUUGGUGCUUCGUAGCUUUGCUACAAAUUCAACACCAUAGUCCAUAGCUAUUGAUGGUGUGUGAAACUUUUUUUUGUUCAACAAAAUUGACGGUGUGUGAAACAAUAUGUGAAUGUGAACAAGAAGAUUGAUACAUGUUUCUUUAAGAAAAAACUUAAAAACAUAAGUCUAGAACAACGAACCGUGAAACCUUUAAAAUAAUAAUCUUUAUAUAUUAUUGUUUAAGGUUUCAAUAUAUUUUGUUAGUGGAUUCAGAAAAAAAUUCCUUCACCCCUUAUGUAAAUAUCUAUUUUCAAUAAUAAUAAUAAAAGCCUAUAGCUCAUACAUCAAUGAACUAGAGCUUAAAAAUGUGAAGCUAAAAGAUAAAAUUAGAAUAACACAAUAUACAAUCAGAAGUAACCAUUCAUCAAUUACACAAAAACAAAUAGGAAUCAUAUUUUCCAUCACAUCUAAAAUCAUUUCAAUCCUUUCUUGAUUCAAAUACGCAUGCUCACUCACCUCUUUCUAGUCGAUUAACUCAAUCAGAUGUUCGAAAUAUUUUGAUUUGUAGUGAUAACAUAACUAUUCAAAUGAAUGGUCACAUUUAUUAAUAAUAAACAUAAUUAUUCAAUAGACCUCUACUUGAAUAUUUAUGAAUUUUUAGUAAUAAUCAACAAAACACUUUUAGUAACAAGAGACAUAACUCAUCUCUAUAAAUAGUGAUAAUUUUGGUUGUGAACUCUUAACUAAUAAGCAAGUGACAUAAUUUUUAAAUAUUUUUAAUUUUCCAAUUAUCACUAUUAGAAUAUUAUACAUAUUUUGAAAAUGUUUCAACUUAUAAUAGCUUUUCACUAAAAUUAAAUAGGUGGUACUUGCAAUAAACUAAUGCCAAAGUAAGUAAUAACAUGAUCGCAGGCUACAGCAAGAAUUGAGAGCCACCAUAUUCUAUAAAAAUCUGAAGCUUGUGAAAGUACGAUCAAUAAUUACCAACAUAAUCGUGUAUGAAUUGUUGGACAAUUGACAUGGGUUUUUUAUAAGGUAAAUAGUAUCAUAUUUAUAGAUAUAUUAUUUUUAUUAAAAUUAAUACGUAUUAGUUUGUUUCGAUGUAUCCUUAUUUUUUAAAGAAAGGUAUUUAAUAUAUGUGUAUAAAAAUAUUCACAAUAUCAAAUAAAUAACACUAAAUAAAUUUUAAAUACAAAAUAUUCAUCAAUUAUAUAAAAUUUUCAAAAAUAAACUCUACAAAUAAAAUUCAUUAGUCAAUGGAUUAACAAGGAAAAGAACUUAAGGGUGAGUAGAGAUUUUUUUUUUUUGUAAUAAUGUGAAUAGGGGUUUUUAUAUUUUAAUUGUGAAAGUAUGUCCUAAAACUAAAACCUUUAAUGUUUAAAAUGUUAAACUUUACUUUUCAAUGUAAUCAUUUUGAUUCGUUAGUAAAUUCCAAUUAAGUAUUUAGAAUAAUAGUAAAUUAUUAAAAGUUUUUUUUAAUAUUAUUCAUGCAUCGGUUGGUGCACCAUGUUCCAAUCGGUGUGAUUGGAAUUGACCGAAAUCAGCCGAUGUAAUCGAUAUGAAUUGGAAUUUUCACCAGUGCAAAAAGUGGUGUUGCUUGUUCCACUUUAAAAUAGGAUGGACUCGGCAAAUUGGAGAUCUUGAAACGACAUGUUUUGGUUUGAUUUAAUUAAGUUUUUGUGAGUUAUAAUAAUCUGUUUAAUUUGGACUAGAAAUAAGUUUUAGGAACUGUGGUAUGGAUUUUGAUUUCGUUAGGACUCGUAAGAAUGCGGGAUUUUGGUUUUGAACGGAAGUUAUGAUUUAUCAUGCAUGGACUAUAGUUAAUCAAUUACUAUUCCUUUAUAAAGAACACACGAUUUCAAAAAAAUAACUUAUAGUUUCUGUUUUAAAAAUAAAUGAUGUAUUUUCUAAUGUACCUGAUUUUGAAAUUUCAGUUGACAAUUAGCAAAACUUGAAUUAUCUGCAAAAUGAAUAUUUACAAUUAUUAAAUUGGUUUUAUUUUAAUUCUAACAACGAUUAAACCCCUAAUUUGCAAAAUAUAAGUAAAGAUUUUAUUGGAUUUUGUUAAGCAUUAAAAGAAAAGGGUUUUCAAAAAGAGGUUUUUUAGAUUUGAUCAGUAUUUUAAUUUGGGACACUUUGGUGAGCAAUGUGACCUCAGGAAUUCGGUCGAAACUUCUGGGCUGAGUUUUGGGGGUGUUACAAUAAAUUUUAAAUAUAAAGAAUUCAUUAGUUAUAUAAAAUGCUCAUCAAUAAACUCCACAAAUAAAAUUUAUUAUUUAAUGAAUUAACAAGAAAGAACUAAAGGGUGAGUAGGGCCUUUUUUUUUUGAUAAUUAUGUGAAUAGUUAAAAGUUUUAUUUUUUAACCUAAUAUUUUAUGUAUUAUAAAGUUAAAUGAUAAUAGCACACAAAUUAAUGUUUAAUGAUAAAAAGAGGAGCCAUUUUUAUGUAUUAUAAAGUUAUAAAUUAAUAUAUGAUUAUAUUCAAACCCUAAAUGAAUGAAGGCACAUGUGAUUAAUAAAAUCAUAUUGAAUAGCCAAAAAUACACUUAUCCUUAGAUAAGAUAAUUUGCCAAACACUAGUGAAAUAGGAUUUAAUCUUCUUGGAGCUUUAGGAUUUGGCAAGUUAGGUUGGUCAAAUGCUAAAAGUUCAUUAACAUUAUUGCCUAACUCACUUAUUUUUGCAAUUGAAGUUCUCAAAAUAAUUUCUAUAUAAGCUCAAUUUUGAAAGUUUUUGCUAAAAAGCAACAAACCAAAAAUAUUUAGAUAUGGAAACAGAAAAUAACUUGGAGGGUUGUGGAGUUGAGAAAUUAGCUACUAUUCUAGCUAUUGGCACAACAAAUCCACCCAACUGCUUUUACCAAGCUGAUUAUCCAGAUUUCUACUUUCGAGUGACUAAAAGUGAACACAUGACGCAAUUAAAAGACAAAUUUCGACGAAUAUGUAAGUACCAUAGUUUUGUAAAAGCUAGGAAUGGACUGUUAUUUUAUAUGUAAUCUUCCACCAAAUUACUUUUCCAUUUCCUCACUAAUAUAGAUGUAAUUUAUAUAUGUUACCAGGUGAGAAAUCUACAAUAAAGAAACGUUACAUGCAGUUAAGUGAGGCCAUGCUGAAAGAGAAUCCCUGUUUAACUAUCUACAAGGCUCCAUCCUUUGACGUUCGUCAAGAUUUUCUUGUAAAGGAAGUACCAAAGCUUGGUAUGGAAGCAGCAUUGAAAGCCAUCAAAGAAUGGGGACAACCCAUUUCAAAGAUCACUCACCUUAUAUUUUGCACAUCAUCAGGGAUAGACAUGCCUAGUGCUGACCAUAAGCUUGCUAAUCUUAUUGGCCUCAAACCCUCUGUUCAAAGAUUCAUGAUUUAUAAUCAAGGUUGCUUUGCUGGAGCCACUGCCCUGCGCCUUGCCAAGGAUUUGGCCGAGAACAAUGCCAGUGCUCGUGUACUUAUUGUUUGCUCCGAGAACAUGGUCAUGAGUUUCCAACCACCUUCGGAGACCCAUUUAGACAUACUCAUUGGCUCCGCAAUAUUUUCCGAUGGGGCAGCGGCUUUGAUUGUUGGUGCUAAUCCUAUUGUCAGCAUCAACGAGUGCCCUUUAUUUCAAAUUGUAUCAGCAAGUCAAAGCAUUAUCCCUAAAUCUGAUGAUUUACUAAUAGGGAAAAUACGUGAAAUGGGGAUGGAGUAUUAUCUAUCGAGAAAUUUGCCUCAAUACGUGUCUAACAACAUCAAGCAAUGCAUGGUUGAAGCGUUUACUCCAUUUGGAAUCAGGGAAUGGGAAAAUUUGUUUUAUAUAGUUCAUCCUGGUGGAGUAGCUAUUCUUAAUGGAAUUGAAGAAAAACUUGGGUUGAAUAAGGAGAAGCUUAGAGCAAGUAGGCAUGUGCUAAGUGAAUAUGGAAACAUGAGGGGUCCAAGCGUGAUCUUUGUUCUUGAUGAGAUGAGGAAAAUGUCGGUGUUGGAAGGCAAAGCCACCACAGGUGAAGGUCUUGAGUGGGGCGUGUUGUUCGGGUUUGGGCCAGGUCUCACAGUGGAGACAUUGGUGCUUCGUAGCUUUGUUACAAAUUCAGCACCAUAAUCCAUAGUUAUUGCCGGUGUGUGAAACAAUAUGCGAAUGUGAACGAGAAGAUUGAUACAUGUUUCUUUAAAAAAAAACAACUUAAAAAUAUAAGUCUACAAUAAUGAACCAUGGAACCCUUAAAAUUUUCAUGUAUGAUAUAAUAAUCUUUAUAUAUUUUUAUUUUAGGUUUCAGUCUCUUUUCUUAGUGGAUUCAGAACAAAAUUCCUUUUGUAACACUUAAAUGUAACACCCCAAACUCUGCCUAGACGUUAAGACCAAGUCUGAAUGGUACAUCAAAACGUUUGAGGAAAACCAACCUCUAAGUAUCUUAAAAUUCAUCUUACAGAAAACACUUAACUACUUAAACCAACAUCACAUCCAAGUUUACAAACCAUAGUCCGAAAACAUACGUUAUUUAAAGUUUAAACAAACAAUAAAAUAUCUAGUAAGAGAUAUAACCGAGCUCCUAGCACACCGAAAAGAUUUAUUUUCUGUUGUACCUGAUUUUGAAAUUUCAGUUGACGAUUAGCAAAACUUGAAUUAUCUGCAAACUGAAUAUUUACAAUUAUUAAAUUGGUUUUAUUUUAAUUCUAACAAUGAUUAAACCCCUAAUUUGCAAAACAUAAGUAAAGAUUUUAUUGGGUUUUGUUAAGCAUUAAAAGAAAAGGGUUUUCAAAAAGAGAUUUUUUAGAUUUGAUCAGUAUUUUAAUUUGGGACACUUUGGUGAGCAACGUGACCUCUAGAAUUCGGUCGAAACUUCUGGGAUGAGUUUUGGGGUGUUACAAUAAAUUUUAAAUAUAAAGUAUUCAUCAGUUAUAUAAAAUGCUCAUCAAUAAACUCCACAAAUAAAAUUUAUUAUUUAAUGAAUUAACAAGAAAGAACUAAAGGGUGAGCAGGGCUUUUUUUUUUUUUUGAUAAUCAUGUGAAUAGUUAAAAGUUUUAUUUUUUUUAAUAUUAUGCAUGCGCUGUUCGGUGCAUUAUGUUCCAAUCGGUAUGAUUCGAUUUGAUCGAAACGAGUCGAUGUAAUUUAUAUGAAUCGAAAUUUUCACCAGUGCAGAAAAUGGUGUUGCUUGUUCCUCUUUAAAAUUGGAUCAAUGUACUUUAACUAUGACUGGAACUUAUGCAGUAUUGACCACCAUGUUCUUUCUACCACUCUCAUGGACUUUUUCAUUGUCCUUUCUAAUUCAAAACAAGAAAAGCUCGUACUUAAACCACAAUAAUUCAAAUUUUAUAUGGAUAUUUUGUGCAUGAAAAUCGUUACUCGUAUUAUAUUUAUCGAUGUUGCGAUUGUACACUCAAUAGAUAUGCCAAAGCUCUUGUCAACCAAUACCGAAUUUUUUUCUCAAUAAUCUUGAUAGAAAAAAAUAUUAGGUUCAAAAUUAGUAUUGUAAAGUUAAAUGAUAAUAGCACACGAAUAAAUGUUUAAUGAUAAAAAAGAGGAGCCGGUUUUAUGUAUUAUAAAGUUAUAAAUUAAUCCAUGAUUAUAUUCAAAUCCUAAAUGAAUGAAGGCACAUGUGAAAUAAAAUCAUAUUGAAUAGCCAAAAAUACACUUAUCCUUAGAUAAGAUAAUUUGCCAAACACUAGUGAAAUAGGAUUUAAUCUUCUUGGAGCUUGAGGAUUUGGUAAGUUAGGUUGCCCAAACACUAAAACUUCAUUAACAUUAUUGCCUAACUCAUUUAUUUUUGCAAUUGAAGUUCUCAAAAUAAUUUCUAUAUAAACUCAAUUUUGAAAGUUUUUGCUAAAAAACAACAAACCAAAAAUUUUUAGAUAUGGCAAGAGAAAAUAACUUGGAGGCUUGUAGAGUUGAGAAAUUAACUACUAUUCUAGCUAUUGGCACAACAAAUCCACCCAACUGCUUUUACCAAGCUGAUUAUCUAGAUUUUUACUUUCGAGUGACUAAAAGUGAACAUAUGACACAAUUGAAAGACAAAUUUCGACGAAAGUAAAUAGUUAUUAAGUCUUUAUAAUAAUAGUAAAUAGUUAAAAUUUUUAUUUUUUUACUAUUAUUCAUGCAUUGGUCAAUGCACCAUGUUCCAAUCGGUGUGAUUGGAAUUGAUUGAAACGAGCUGAUGUAAAUUAUAUGAAUUGAAAUUUUCACCAGUGCGGAAAAUAGUGUUACUUGUUCCGCUCUAAAACUAGAUCAAUGCGCAUUGACUUUUUUUUUGAACAACAAUGCGCAUUGACUUAUAUUCGGAUAAGAGCAUUAUUGAAAUAGCAAAAAAAAAAAUCCACUUAUCUUCGGAUAAGAGAAUUUGCCAAACACUUGUGAAAUAGGCUUUAAUCUUCUUGGAGCUUUAGGAUUGGACAAGUUGGGUUGGGGAAAUUAUUAACAUUAAAGCUUAAUUCACUUAUUUUUGUAAUUGAAGUCUUCAAAAUAAUUUUUAUAUAAACUGAAUUUUGAAAGCUUUUACUAAAAAGUAAGAAACUAAAAAUAUUUAGAUAUGGCAACAAAAAAUAACUUGGAGGCUUCUCAAGUUGAGAAAUUAGUCGCUACUCUAGCUAUUGGCACAACAAAUCCACCUAACUAUUUCUAUCAAGCUGACUAUUCAGAUUUUUACUUUUGAGUGAUUAAAAAGUGGACACAUGAUGCAAUUAAAAGAAAAAUUUAACGAAUAUUAAGUAUCAUAAUUUCGUAAAAGCUAAGAAUUGACUGUUAUUUUAUACCUACAUAUAUAUAAUCUUUCAUCAAGUGAAUUUUCCAUUUCUACACUAAUAUAAAUGUUCUUUAUGUAUCUUCAGGUGAGAGAUCUACAAUAAAGAAACGUUGCAUGUACUUAACUGAGGCCAUGCUAAAAGAAAAUCCCAACUUAACUAUCUACAAGGCUCCAUCUUUUGAUAUUCGUCAGGAGAUCCUUGUAACUGAAGUACCUAAGCUAGGUAUGGAAGCGGCAUUGAAAGCCAUCAAAGAAUGGGGACAGCCCAUUUCAAAGAUCACUCACCUUAUAUUUUGCACAUCUUCAGGGAUAGACAUGCCUAGUGCCGACCAUAAGCUUGCUAAGCUCAUUGGCCUCAAACCUUCCGUUCAGAGAUUCAUGAUUUAUAAUCAAGGUUGUUUUGGCGGUGCCUCUGCCCUACGUCUUGCCAAGGAUUUAGCCGAGAACAAUGCUAGUGCUUGAGUGCUUACCGUGUGCUCCGAGAUUAUUGUUGCGAGUUUUCAACCACCUUCGAACACCCAUUUAGACAUACUCAUCGGCUCUGCAAUUUUUGCCGAUGGGGCAGCAGCUUUGGUUGUUGGUUCUAAUCCUAUUGCCAGCAUCAACGAGCGUCCUUUAUUUCAAAUUGUUUCAGCGAGUCAGACCUUUAUCCCUGAGUCUGAUGAUAUGCUGAUAGGGAAAGUACGUGAAAUGGGAAUAGAGUAUUAUAUGUCAAGAGAUUUGCCUAAGUACAUUGCUAACAACAUCGUGCAAUGCAUGGCUGAAGCGUUUACUCCAUUUGGCAUCACCGAAUGGGAAAACUUGUUUUACGUAGUCCAUCCUGGUGGAGCUGCAAUUCUCAAAGGAGUUGAAGAAAAACUUGGGUUGAAUAAGGAGAAGCUUAAAGCGAGUUGGCAUGUACUAAGCGAAUAUGGAAACAUGCGAAGUCCAACCGUGUUCUUAACGAGAUGAGGAAAAUGUCAAUGUUAGAAGGCAAAGCCACAACUGGUGCUGGUCUUGAGUAGGGCGUGUUACAAAUACAGCACCAUAGUCCAUAGCUAUAACUUUAUUUCUGUUGAACAAAAUUUCUAGUGUGUGAAUCAAUAUGCAAAUGUGACGCAUACUCAAUAAAAUGAGAGGAUUGUUACAUGUUUCUCUAAAAAACAACUUUAAAAAAUAUUUAAUCUAGAAAAAUGAACCGUCAUGUAUUAUUGUUUCAAAUUUCAGUAUACUCUGUGCCUCUUAGUGUUCCCCUGACACAUGGAUUCAGUUUUGUGGUCAAUCUUUGUUUUCUCUUCUGGUCAAAGAGGGAAUUGUGUUCCCUUCUCCAAAUCCAGAAGGUUGCUAUAACAGAUCUGAAAUUUGAAGGUAAUAAUUGAGUUUUGCCAUCAACAUUAUACCCCGUUUGUUUUUCUUUCUUCAAACCGAUUGAAUGUUGCUUUAAUAAAUUUGAAAUGCCAGGAAAAUGGAUCAAAUUGAAGUUGACCAUUAUGUGGCCUUUUUUAAGGAAUUCUACCCACCAUAUUUCUUUUCGAUUAAUCAUCUCAAAAUUUGACCCAAACUUUAGGAGUUAUAAGAAUUGUUCCCAUUAAACCUUAAUAGUUUCUUCCUUUUUGUUACCUAGAAAAAUAGUAUUGUCUUUGUAGAAUCCGUUUUUAAUUAAAAAAAAUGAAAUUCUUUUUUGUAUAGAAGUAUUUCUACUUUCUUUCAUCCCUUCAAAAAUUUUUUUUUAAAGAAAGCCAGUUAGGGUUGAAUUAAAAAACAAAGAGAAGAGUGAUUUUUCUUCUAAAAUCUCCAAAAUAAGCUAUAGUUGAAGUUAUAUACUUCAAUCAUUACCUUGAAAUUUCGUACCUGUUAAAGCAACAUUCAACAGAUCAGUGGAUUUGGAGGAGGGAAGGUCUUUGACCCAAAGAGAAAACAAACGGAAUAUUAUGUUGACGGCAAAAUUCAGUUAAUUGGUAUAUAAUUAUAUUAUUUACGUGUCAAUAAAUAAGACAGAAAUUUUGUUAUUAUGAAAAAUAAAUGCAAUGAGCGCUAGGGGGCCGGAAUUAUAAUUUGGUUCUUACAUAAAUUAUAUAAUUAUAAAUUGACUCUUUUAAACAUUUUCUUCUUACACAUAUUUUAUCUUUAUUUUUUUGGCUAUUGUUGAUCUUUUAGGUUUUGUUUGAGUUACAUUCUUCAAUUAUUUUUUUGUCAAUCCGUGUUAAAAUUGGUACUUGCCUUUAAUACCAUUAAAAACAUUCCCAAUCAAAUCACUCCCUUAAAAUAUAUUUAAUUUUUUUAUAUUAAUAUUAAAUAGAAUAAUUAUAUUAAAAUUAAAAUUAAAAAAAUUGCAUCCCCUCCCGCUCUCUCCAUCUUCAAAGGUUUUGGAGGGGCUCCGGUGGAUGAAUGAGUGAUUUUGGAUAAGUUAAUAUAGUGUAGGGAAAUGAGUGGUUUUUGGGUUUCGGUUGGAAUGAUGAUUCUGCUUUAUUUAGUUUGUUAUAGUUUUUUUCACAUUUUUGUAUAUAUAUAUAUGAUAUUCGUACAUGAAUUACCGUGACUUACUUAAAGGAUGUUAUGUUAUGACAGAUUUUGAAGAAUGGAUUCAAGAGUUAUGUAUUUGAGUUGCUAUUUGAGUUUUAGAAUAAUGAUUUCUGGUUCAUUUUGAAGCUGAAACUUUUUCAAGGUUGAUCGUUUUGUUGUUUUAUUUGAUUCAAUGUUACCGGUUAAUGCUUGGUAAUUGAGCUAUUGUUAUGGGUUUAAACGGAAAGACAUUUGGCUUAAAGUUGGAGAGAGAGAGAGGGUGUUAUGAUUUAAAAGGAAACACAUCUCGUUUAAAGAUGGAGAGAGAGAGGAGGACGUGGGGAGGAAUAGUUAUUUUAUGUUUAAUAUUUAUAUAAAAUUAUCUUUUAAUGGGUGGUGACAUGGUGCAAUUCUAUUGGUUAAAAAAUAGAUCAACUCAAAAAUAGUUUAGAUGUCUAAUUCAAACAAAAUGAAUAAUUUAAAGGCUUCCGGUUAAUUUAGCCUUUUUUUUUUUUAGGUUGACUUUGAUAAAAGAAAAAAUGAAGGGCUCCUUAUCCAAAUUAGGAGGGCAUCCACUUAGCUCUAGGCCUAACUCGAUCAAAAUCAAAACAACACCAGAAAUAAGUCCCGCAAGUAUAUGGAAUACCAUUUUAAUCAAUGUUUUAGGCUUCAUUUGUUUUAUUGACAUAAUGAUGAAAAAGGAUCGUGGUUACAGGUCAUUUGUCAUAAGACAAAUUAUUUAGUUACUUUGAAUUAGUAAUUGACUUUUUUAUAUCGAAAAAUGUAAUAGAUAUUAUGAUUGGGAGAACAAAUUUUAUCCCAAAGAGAUUAAGAAUAUUUUAUGAGGGUAACUAACUUAUGACAAGAUCAUUGAAUGAGUACUUAACUAGUAGCUUUCGUAAUAGCAUAUAAUAAGGUAGAGUUUAAUUAUGGUAUUACAAUGGAACGACUUAAUGAUUAAAUAAUGUUGUAAUUAAUAGGUGAAAAAGUUAAAACUUAAUUACAAAUUAUUUGUGUAUUAUUUAUAUUUGUCUGGCUAGUCUAUCUGCUAACUCAAUAUAAUCAAUAACGAAGUACAUGUUAAAAUUGAUAUUGUGCAAUGAAUGAGAACGAUAAGUAGGAAAAAUAGAUCGCAUGUAUCACAAUUUAUAGUGAAUGCAUUUUCCCGCUAAGUACAAAAAAGAUUAAAUUCAUUUAUUCAAAUUAUUAUUUAAUUAUUUAUAAUUAAAUAAGUGAAGUUCAAAGUCAAAAUUCAACUAAUUACUCAUCAUAAUUUAUUGAAUGAGACAAUUACAUAUAUUUCCUCAUAGAUUUUAAUACCAUAAAGUUGUCAUAAAUUUAACGAAAUUAGAAUUGGAUUGAAAAAUAAUUUAAUUGAGAAAUUAAUUGGCUUAAGAGUCAAAAAAGUCCUUAGUAAAAAAUGAAAAAAAUCAUUUGAGCUCUUAAGAAAAAAAAUGCACCCUGUUAAAUCUUUAAUGACCAAAAAAUUAAUCAACUAGGUCAUUUUGUUAAUGGAAACCGUUAGUUGACCAGUUUAACCGUUAAAGGCACUGACAUGACUGACGACAAUCACUAAGAGAUGACACAUGGCAUGCCAUGUGAAAGAAUGUUGAUAUGACAUGACACAUCAACAAAAAAUUCAUUUUUUAAUAAAUAUUUUUUAAAAAUUUUAUUUAAAAAAUAAUUAAUAAAAAUUACAUCUAGAAUGAAUCUGGACAUAAUGUUGUCCAGAUCUAUUUGAAUCUAGAUAAUUACUUGUCCAAAUUUGUUUUAGAUGAGUUCAAAAUUUUAAAAAAAAAAAGAAAUUAUAAAAAAUAUUAAUAAUGAUUUAGAAAUUCUAAAAAUUAUAAAUAAAUAAAAAAGAAGAUAAUAUAUGAUUAAGGUCCUAACUUCAGCCCUAUGAUUAAGACCCGCUAUGCUAUUUUGCAACAGCAUAUUUCCCUGUGCUGUCGGUUUCCACUUUCGGUCAUUUGACUUCCUUUUUGAACCAAGUGAGUGUCUAAAUUUAUAAAAAAAAAAUGGGAACCAGAAACUGAAAAAAAGGAGCAAUAUACUGCUUUGGAAUUGAAUGUGAUUGCAACCUGUUGUCGUUGAUGGUGGCUUUUGCUGAGUAUGUGGUUAAAGUGGGUGUUCAGAAAUGCAUAUUCCAGUUUUCAAACAAUGACUGCAAAUGGGGUUGUAUUUCAUGUUCAAGUUAAAUAGAGCAAAUCCUAUUUCAGGCAAUCCACCUUCCAGUGGUUUGGUUAUGAGGCCGGGACUGAGUUAAUUCCACAAGAAUCAAAGCAUUCCUUCACCCUGAAUUUGUUAAAGCUGUACGUGUGUGUGGAGUUUGAUUGAGUCAAGUAGUUGGUUAAAAAGAUCUGUCUUGUGCAAAUAAUCUAUUAAUAAUUUAUCAAUAUUUUACUAUUAUUUCUCCUCUAAUUUCAAUAUUCUGUUUAGUGGGAUUCCUAUUUCCUAGCUAUUAAGGUUGAAAUUUUGACUAUUUAAAGGCAUUGAUUAGCGACUAAUAAAAAGUAGAAAUCAGUUCAAUUCUCAUCUGUCUCUAUUGCUAAUCCUUUUCUUUAUAGAAUAAAAACUUAGCAGCAGCUUUUAUUUUUCAACAUUGGUAUCCAAGCUAGGUUUAAGCCUUAGAUUUUUCAGCAGCAACAGUAAGCAAAGUGAUGGCCAUCUACAACUUUGUUCAACCAUCCAUUCCCCGCUUUGAUGGACACUACGAUCAUUGGAGUCUGUUGAUGGAGAACUUCUUGAGGUCCGAGGAGUAUUGGUAGGUUGUUUCUGAGGGAAUUGAGGAACCAACAAAUGACACAGUAGUGACAAGGGCUCAGAAGAAGGAAAUAGAAGGGUUGCGCUUGAAAGAUUUAAAAGCAAAAAAUUAUCUUUUCCAAGCAAUUGACUGUUCAAUCUUGGAAACCAUCCUUUGCAAAGACACGUCCAAGCAUAUUUGGGAUUCCAUGAAGAAAAAUAUCAGGGUUCUGCGAGGGCAAAGAGGCAGCGACUUCAAGCACUUCGUUCGGAGUUUGAAACACUACGAAUGAAAUCGGGUGAGUCGAUAACCCAUUAUUUUUCAGGUACAAUGGCCAUUGUCAACAAAAUGCGAAUUCAUGAAGAUAAAAUAGAUGAUGUUGCUGUGAUUGAGAAAAUACUUUGCUCCAUGACUACAAAAUUCAAUUUUGUAGUUUGUUCCAUUGAGGAAGCUCAUGUCAUCGAGGAACUUUCAAUUGAUGAGCUACAACGUUCUUUGUUGAUACAUGAGCAGAAAAUUUGCCAGCAAGAGAAGGAGCAUCAUGCAUUGAAGGCUUUUAAAGAUAAUCAUCUCACAACCAGAGGAGGUCAUGGUAGAGGAAAAUGUAGAGGCGAAGGUAGAGUAAACAAUGAUCAUGGUUACCACCAGCACGAGUCUCAUUCCCAAAAGAGAGGAAGAGGAAGAGGAAGAGGAGGUCAUCACUCUACAUCUUUCAGAACAAAGUCAACAGACGAAUCUAAUGUUGAGUGUUUUCAGUGUCACAAGUAUGGCCAUUAUCAAUCAAAAUGUCGAGUUAAUUUGAAUAAUAAAAAUAGAGACAGAACUAACUUUGCAGAAAAUGAAGAAGUAUCUUUGCUGAUGGCUUAUCAUGUCAAAGAAGAAACGUAGAAGAAUUUAUGGUAUUUGGACACAGGCUGCAACAAUCAUAUGAGUGGCGACAAGUCUGCGUUUUCGGUGUUAGAUGAGUCUAUUCGUGACAAUGUGAAGUUUGGUGAUGAUUCAAAAGUCUCUGUAAUAGGGAAGGGAAAGGUAACAAUUCAAAUGAAACGUAAUGUUGUUUAUACUAUAUCUAAUGUCCUCUUUGUUCUAGAUUUGAAAAUAAAUUUGUUGAGCAUUGGCCAACUACAAGAAAAGGGAUAUGAGAUUUCGAUUAAAGAUGAAGUUUGUAGAAUACAAGAUGAAAAAUUAGGAUUAAUUGCCCAAGUUGAUUUGACACCUAACAGAAUGUUUUUAUUGUACCUCUACACCAUCACCAACUCAUGCUUCUCUACAAGGUUGCAAGAUGAAAGUUGGCUUUGGCACUUUCGGUAUGGGUAUUUAAAUUUUGGAGGUUUAAAAAUAUUACAGCAAAAGAAUAUGGUGACAGGCCUCCCACACAUCCAAACUCCUUCUCAAGUAUGUAAAGAAUGUGUCAUUAGUAAACAACAUCGAGAACCAAUUCAAAAAGGAAAAUCAUGGAGAGCGAGGAAGGCAUUGGAGCUUGUGCAUUCAGACUUAUGUGGACCGAUCGCUCCUACGUCAAAUGGAGGUAAACGAUAUUUUAUAUCGUUCAUUGAUGAUUUUAGUAGAAAAACUUGGGUUUAUUAUUUGCAUGAAAAAUCUAAAGCUCUCACAUCCUUUAAGAGUUUCAAAGCUCUAGUUGAAAAAGAAGCAGGGACUCCAAUCAAGGUGUUGCGUAGUGAUCGUGGUGGAGAAUACAAUUCAGAAAAAUUUGUUAUUUUUUGUGAUAAGAAAGGAAAUAAGAAGCUACUAACAGCAACAUACACACCUUAACAAAAUGGCAUCUGCAAAAGAAAGAAUCGCACAAUUUUGAACAUAGUACGAAGUCUUUUAACAAGGAGCGGAGUUCCAAAAGUUUUUUGGCCUGAAGUCGUUGAACUAGCAAAUGUGCAUCCUUAACGUAACAGGAAGGGACCUGCAUGGAUGGAGAAUUUUGUGGUAGAGGGAAUUAAUGAAGAGGAAGUUACACAUUUUGCUCUAUUUUCAGAUUGUGAUCCAGUAGCAUUUGAAGAAGCCGUAAAAGAGUCCAAAUGGAAAAAAGCAAUGAAUGAAGAAAUGGUAGCCAUUGAACGUAACAACACUUGAGAGUUGACUGAUCUUUCCAAAGGGCACAAAACAAUUGGUGUGAAGUGGGUUUACAAGACAAAACUGAAGGAAAAUGGCGAGGUUGACAAAUUCAAGGCACGCUUAGUAGCUAAAGGCUAUAAGCAUGAAUUUGGUGUUAAUUACAAAGAGGUGUUUGCCCCUGUUGCUGUCAUGAUACAAUCAGGCUGGUGAUUACUCUUGCGGCUCAAAAUUCGUGGCCUAUUUUCCAAUUAGAUGUGAAAUCGGUGUUUUUACAUGGUGAUUUGAAAGAACAAGUGUUUGUUGAGCAACCUCCUGGAUAUGUAAAGCAUGGAAAUGAGCACAAGGUGUAUAGGUUAAAGAAGGCUUUUUACGGGUUGAAGUAAGCCCCAAGGGCUUGGUAUAGUCGUAUCGAAGCUUACUUUCUAAAAGAAAGCUUUCUAAGUUAUUCAUAUGAGCAUAAACUUUUUACCAAGGUUGGUGAUGGAGGUAAAAUGAUUACUGUUUGCUUAUAUGUUGAUGAUCUUAUUUCUAUUGGGAGUGAUGUUGCCAUGUUUUACAAAUUCAAGAAGUUUGUGAUGAUUGAAUUUGAUAUGACUGAUCUUGGUAUGCUUAAUUAUUUUUUGGGCAUUGAAAUGGUGCAAUCUGCUGUUAAAAUUUUUAUUUCUCAAAAUAAAUAUGUGUAAGAAAUUUUAGACAGGUUUCAAAUAAAGAAUUGCAACUCCGUUUGCACACCUACUGAAGUGGGCAUGAAGCUUAUUCGAGAUCCUGAAAGGAGGAAGGUUGAUAGCACCAUCUACAAGCAAAUGGUGGGAAGCUUGAUGUAUUAAACUGCAACAAGACUAGACAUUAUGCAUGUUGUAAGUCUCAUUAGUAGGUUCAUGGAGUGCCCAAAGGAAAUUCAUCUUUUAAUUGCAAAAAAAAUACUUCAGUAUUUGAAAGGUACUGCUAGUUAUGGUCUGUUCUACAAAAAGGGUGAAAAAUCAGAUUUGUAUGGCUUUACAGACAAUGAUUAUGCUGGUGAUCGAGAUGAUAGAAAGAGUACUUCAAGUUAUGCAUAGAAAGAGUACUUCAAGUUAUGCAUUUAUGCUGGGCUCAGGGGCUAUUUCUUGGUCUUUAAAAAAACAACAAAUUGUCACUUUAUCUACAACUGAAGCCGAGUUUGUGUCCGCAACAGCUUGUGCUUGUCAAGCUAUUUGGUUGAGGAAAAUACUUGACGAACUACACUUAUUGCAACAAGGAGCAACAACAAUUUUCUGUGACAAUAAUUCAGCAAUCGAACUUUCCAAGAAUUUGGUGUUACAUGGACGAAGCAAGCAUAUAGAUGUGAAGUACCAUUAUUUGAGGGAUCUUACAAAUAAUGGCGUCAUUGAUUUGAUUUGUUGUAGGAGUGAAGACCAAAGUGCUGAUAUUUUCACUAAAUCUUUAAAGAGAGCUGCAUUUCAGAAGUUAAGAAGGUUGCUUGGUGUCUGCACUUUGGAAGAUCCAUCAGUUUGAAGCUAUAAUCUUUUAAACCAAAUAUUUGCGAGUUUUUGGUUUAAGGGAGAGUUUGUUAAAGCUAUACGUGUGUGUGUGGAGUUUGAUUGAGUCAAGUAGUUGGUUAAAAAGAUCAUGUAUUGUGCAAAUAAUCUGUUAAUAAUUUAUCAAUAUUUUACUGUUAUUGCUCCUCUAAUUUCGAAAUUUUGUUGUAGUAGGAUUCCUAUUUCCUAGCUAUUAGUUGUUGGAAUUUUGCCUAUUUAAAGGCAUUGAUUAGUGGUUAAUAAAAAGUAGAAAUUAGUUCAAUUCUCAUCUGUCACUAUCGCUAAUCAUUUUCUUUAUAGAAUAAAAACUUAGCAGCAACUUUUAUUUUUCAACAGAAUUUAUUGUAUUUGAAAAAAGGGAUUAAUCAAGUUACAGAUGAUGUCUGGCUUCUACUUGCGGACCAUACAUACGGAUACAGUAUAUAUAUUUGCAAAUAAUAGCUUAAUGAAACAUAUGGUUGUCAGGCAGUGGAGGGGAUAAAUAUAUAUAUAGAAAAGAGGGUUGUUGGUACCAUUUUUUUGGAUGAAAAUGGGGUCGACUUGGGUUUUGAAAAAAAGAAACGGGAAUGGGAGUCGCCACCAAUCCUUUUUUAUGAGGUGUGAUUGGAUUACCUCGAAAAAUGGUUAUUUUUAAUAAACGGUUUGAUUUUAUUAAAACAACAAGUUUGGUCCACGAAAUUCAGAAAAAACAAAAUGGGUUCGGGAGUCGGUUACGCACGAGGAAGGAUUAGCACCCUCGAUACGCCCAAAAUUGGUACCUAGUUGAUUACUUAAUGUCUUAAUGUCAAAAAUUGAGAACCUUGAAGAAUUUUAAAAAUACGAUCCUUAUAUUAAAACGUUGAAAAUUUUCAGAGAAAAAAAAAAGGGGCAUAUUUCACGUUAUUCGAGAAGGAGAAUCAUAUCCAGUAAGUUAGGACACAAUGUCUCAAAUUCCCGAUACGCGGAUGAAAAAUGCUUAUUUAAAAGAUAUUUUAUUAUCUUGGUUUUAGAAAUAAAUCAGGCCCAGUAAGUUAGGGCACGAUCUUUUCUUAAUUCCCGAGAUCGUUUAAAAACUUGAGUUUGAAAAGAUUCGUGUAUUUAGAUUUAUUAUGAAAAUCGAAACCCAGUAAGUUAGAGUACGAUCCUUUCGAAUCUAAACACGAAAUAUUUUUUAAAACAAAUUUUGUUAUACCGAGUAAAAUAAAACAUGAAAAUCGUAGUAAAAUGUGAAAACAAAUUACAUUGUUGUUAUACGUGGUAAAAUCAUAAUACACAUAAAAAAUAAAAAAUAAUACGAGCAAUAGCAACGAUAUAAAAUAAAUAAAAGUCAUACGUACAAUCAUAUAAAAUAACAAUAUAUAUAAACAAAUAAAUUAAAACAUUCAUUCAAAAUAAUAACGAAAAUGAAAUAAAUAAGUAACAAAUACAAUUAAAUAUAAAAAGAUAUAUAGACAUAAACUAAAAUAUGUAUAUAUAUAUAAAUUAGCAAAAUGUAUAAAGUAUAUUUUAAUAUAUAAAAGAAACGAUAAUAUGUAUAUAUAAAAAUAUGUACAUAUAUAUGGGUGUAUAAAACUAUGGAAUAUGAAAAUAAUAAAAUACAUAUAAAGUAAGUACAUAUAUAUGUUGAAAAUAAAAGAAAGAAUGUAUGUACAAAUUAAAGUUUAAAAUAAUGAAAAUAUACGUAUGUAUACGAAUAAAUACGUUAAUUUUGAUACAUGUUAAAAAAGUAUAUUGAAAAUGUAUAUAUAUAUUUAUGUAAAUUAAGAUAUACAAAAAUAUGUAUGUACGUACAUAUAAAAAUAUAUAUACUUAUAAAAUAAAAGGAUAUGUACGUAUAUAAAUUAAUAGUAACAUGUGUGUAUAUAUGGAUUUAUAAAAAAGGAGUAUAUUUUAAACUAUAAAGAUUAUAUAUAAAUAUGUAUAUAUUUAGGAAAAUGAAAAUAUAUAUAUAAAUGUAUAGAUAUGUACAUAAGUUGUAAAAUAUAUAAACUAUAUAAGUAUAUAUGUUAUAAAAACAAUGUAUGUAUAUCACAAAAAUAUAUGCAUGUAUAUGUAUAUAUGUGCCGAAAAUUUAAAUAAAAUAAACAUAAACAAAUAGGUAAUAAUAAUAAUAAUAAUAAUAAUAAUAGGACUAAAUCAAAACGGAAACGAAAUCUCAGGGCUGAAAUCAAAAAUGAAAUAGAGUAAAGGAUUAAAAUGUGAGGCGCGCGAAAAGGGAAGGACUGAAAAGGGAAAUAUUCCCUCCUAGAGUGCCACGUUUCAGCGCAAAGGACCAUACAUGGUCAAAGGACCUGAUUGAAACAUAAACAAAACUCGCGGCCCAAAUCAAAAAAAAUAAAAGGUUUGAUUGCAUUUCGACGCAAGAUGGAGGGACUAAAUACAUAAAUUACCCAUUAGGGCAAAGCAUGCACAAAUCCCCCCAUCACCUGGCGCCGUUUCUUCUAACAUAAAUACCCAAUAAAGAAAAAAUGUUGCUUCAUUUUUCUAAAGAAAAACAGAGGGCUCAGCCCCUCUCUCUCACAGGCUCCAAGUCCCGCCGAUAGGGCCGUCGCCGGCGCCGCCGUGACCCUCGCCGUCAUCAGUGACCGGGGCAACGCAAAGGUCACCCCUUUGGUCCGUUUUUGAAACACUUGAAGGCCUAAACUCCUAGACUUCAAGGCCGAAAGGAGAAAAACCACGUGCCCCCUUUUCACGUCCUGAUUUCGAUGACCGAAAUGGCCGGCGAAGGGCUCUCCGGCGAUCCCAGGUAUUCUCCUUCCUCUCUUUUUUUAAAUAAUUUUCUUAAGAAAACGAUUUCGAAAAAAAAAAGAAAAGAAAUCGACAAAGAAAAAAAACGAAGAACAAAAACAGCAACCCUUUUUAUUGAUUUCUGAUUUUUUUUGUCUCCGAAAAUUCCCCCAUCGUCGGCCAAAUGGGCCACCGUCGACCCCGCCGUGAGUGGUGGUCAGAAGCCCGAACGUCGGGUUUUUAAACCCUGCUUCAAGAACCAACUGAAGACUAAGUCUUCAUGGCCUCGGGGUCGCGAGAGAAAAAUCAAAUCGCUGCCUUCCCCGCCCAAUUUCGGUGACCCGAAGUCGGACUCCGGCGACGACACUUGCGAGGCGAUUUAGGUAAGGUUCUUUCUCCUUUUUUAUUUCGUUUUUGUUAAGAUAGAUUCAUUAUAUAAAAGAAAAAACAAGCAAAUAUAAAACAAACAAAAGAGAAUAGGAAGUCUGAAUCCACCUUUAAAUGUUUUCUCUGCCUUUUUUCAUUAGCUGUUGUGUUGUGAAAAUGUUACAAAAGGAAAGACCCGAUUAUAGUGAUCAAGCUUUCCCCCCCUCUUUUCAUUGGUUUGAAUAGCUUUAUAUAGCCCUAAUAUAUUUUUUAUUAUUUGUUGUCUUUUCUUCUUGUAGAUGGCAGUGCAAGUGGAGGGCAGGUGCGGCGGCAACAGGUGGAGCAGGUGGUGGCAAAGUUGGUGGUGACAGAGGGUUAGGGGUUAGGUUUUUUUUUCUGAAAGUGUUUGGGUUAUUGGGCUAGUAGUUGGGCUUUGGGUCUGUUUUGGGUCUUGGGUUUGGGCUGGUUCAAAUUGGGCUUGUACAACUGCCCCUCUUGGCUCGUUGUCGUGUAACGAUAACAGAGCAAAGACUAAGAAAGCCCAAUUUUGCCCGGUCUCGUCGAGUCUCGACUUCUUGGUGCUUUUCUUCUUCAGGUAGCUUCAUUCCAGUCCACUGUCUUGUCGUUUCAAUCUAUUGCACUUCAAAAAGCUCUGACUUGUAGUUUCAAUCUUCUUCUGUUGUAACUUCAAGGGGUAAGGUCCAUCAUUCUGACCCGCUUCACUGCAACUUUAGGGAGAUCAGACUCAUAUCUUCAACUUGCUACACUACAACUUCAGGGGGAUAAGAUUCGUUGUUUUCAAUCUAUUCCACUGCAUCUUCAGGGAAAUAAGACUUGAUGCGACCUACUCUGCUGUAACCUCAGAGAGAUAAGAUCCUUUAUUUUAAUCCAUUCCACUGUAACUUCAGGGAGAUAGGAUAGUGUCUUCGAUCUGCUCCGCUGUAAUCUCAGGGAGAUAAGAUCUCUGGCUUCAAUCUGCUCCACUGUAACCUCAGGGAGAUAAGAUCUGAAAUUCUUUGGUCUGUUCCACUGUAAUCUCAGGGAGAUAAGACCUGAUGUGAUCUUCUCUACUGUAACUUUAGAGAGAUAAGAUCCUUUAAUCCGCUCCAUUGUAAUCUCAAGGAGAUAGGAUUACUAUCUUUGAUCUGCUCCGCUGUAAUCUCAGGGAGAUAAGAUCUGAAAUUCUUUGGUCUAUUCCACUGUAAUCUCAGGGAGAUAAGUCCUGUAUUAUGAACCUAAUUAUGCCUAAUGAUUAGGAUGACAUGAUCAAAAUGAAACAAAUGCUCCUAACUAGACAUAUGUGAAUGGUGUUUGCAUGAAUGCAGAAUUUUAUUUUUCCGAGAAUGAUCUCGCUUAGGUUAUCACUACUCGAAGUUUAUCAAGGUUUUGUGACUGAUGUGCUACAACGCCUUCUCGCUUGACUGAUUUUUCUGAAGAAACAUUUAGCCAGACUGUCCCCCUUGUAAACCUCAAAGUUAUAUCCACCGGGACGCCAAAAUUUGUACCAUCAUUCUCUCACAGUAAUCUAAAGGUGGAAAUAUGUGGCCUUUCCUCUGUCCUCUUUUAUCACAAUUUGGGGAUAUAGGAUCUGAACCGUUCUGGUUUCCUACACCAUUCUCAAGGUGUCGUACCAAAGUCUUAUGCGUAAGUGAAGGCUCUCUUCUCCGAGGUAACCUCUUCCUAUUGCCUGAUGAUCAUUGCUCGCUUGUUCAUUUAAGCUUUGUAAUUAACAUGACAACUUGUCAUUUUGUUCAAUCAAUGUUUUAGACAACAAAAUCUGAAAGGAUAGUCUUUAGCUUAGACUCUUCCAUCUUAGAUAUUUCACCCUUUAAACUUGGUAUUUUCUAAACAAUAGUCAUGUUUCAGGUCCCUAUUAUUUAGAAAUUUUCCAGAGUAACGUGCAAAACUUCUUUCCUGAAAGUUCUAUUAGCUCGUUGAUCAUUAUUCCUAUGCGACAUGUUUGCAAAAAGACCAUAACAAUGGAUAAGAAUAAAGCUAGUUCUGAUCAUAACUCGAAUAAAAACAUCAAAGAUGGCGAAAGAAGGGUAACAAAGAAGUGGAUUGAGAAUGUGCGUUUUCACAAAAGGAAAGGAAGAAAGAAAGAAAAUAAAGGAAAUGUAUUUCAAGAAUACACAUAAGAACUAGGUGCCCCAGUUAUCGCCGCUUGAGUUUCCCUGUACAAACUUUCCGAAGACCCUUCUAAGUUUGACAUGUGUUCAGGAGAUCUGCAAUACUCUGUCAAUGUUCCGAGACGUUGCAUAUCCUUCCUUAUUGGUAAAGCAAGAUCAUCAUAUGCCCCUGAUCAAAAUUUGAUCCGCUCAAGUCCUGAUGUUCCAAUCCUGCCCAAUACUUGAGUCGCCCUUUUCGGGUUUUCGACUCAAGCCUCUCCAAAGUCCUUUUUUUUUUUUUUUUUUUAGGAAGCAAAGCGCCCUUCACGGGUUUUCACUUUGGUUCCGCUUUCUUUCAAGUGAAGUAUUUCUUGACAGAGUCUGCGUUUACAGGAUUUGGUAAACUUUUGCCAUCCAUCUCGCAUAGGAUCAAAGCUCCACCGGAAAAGGCCUUCUUUACAACAUAAGGGCCUUCCCAAUUUGGCAUCCAUUUUCCUCUAAAAUCUUUUUGCAUAGGAAGAAUCUUUUUUAGUACCAAGUCCCCUUCACGAAAUUCUCGGGGGCGAACCUUUUUAUUAUAGGCUCGCAUCAUUCGUUUCUGGUACAUUUGCCCAUGGUGAAUAGCUCUUAGCCUCUUUUCUUCUAUUAGGUUCAACUGAUCGUACCGAGAUUGGAUCCAAUCGGCUUCAUCCAACUGUAGCUCAGAUAACACCCGUAGAGAAGGGAUUUCAACUUCAAUGGGUAAUACUGCCUCCAUUCCAUAAACCAGAGCAAAAGGCGUUGCCCCAGUAGAAGUUCUAACAGAUGUUCGAUAGGCGAGGAGAGCAAAUGAUAGUUUCUCAUGCCAAUCUUUGUAGGUUUCAGUCAUUUUCCCCACAAUCCUUUUAAUGUUUUUAUUGGCUGCCUCCACUGCACCAUUCAUUUUGGGACGAUACGGCGAUGAGUUAUGAUGCUUAAUUUUAAAUUUGCUACAAACUUCAGCUAUUGUGCUAUUAUUCAAAUUCAUCGCAUUGUCGGAUAUGAUCCUCUCAGGCAUUCCAUAUCGACAAAUGAUCUCCUUCUUCAAGAAUUUGCUGACUACUGCUUUUGUGACAUUUGCAUAUGAAGCAGCCUCCACCCACUUGGUAAAGUAAUCAAUUACUACGAAGAUGAAGCGAUGCCCAUUAGAAGCCUUUGGUGAUAUUGGCCCAAUAACAUCCAUACCCCACAUGGAAAACGGCCAAGGAGAGGUCAUGACGUGAAGAGGUGAAGGAGGCGCGUGUAUUUUGUCUCCGUAAAUUUGGCAUUUGUGGCACCUCCUGGCAUGAUCAAUGCAAUCUCCUUCCAUGGUGGGCCAAUAGUACCCAAAUCUCAUGAUCUGUUUGGCCAUCGUGAAACCACUGGCGUGCGUCCCACAAAUACCCUCAUGGACUUCUUCCAAAAUUUUCUUGGCUUCUACCGCAUCUACACAUCUUAACAGUACUUGAUCCUUCCUUCUUUUGUAUAACACUUCUCCAUCUAAGACAUAUUCAAUGGCUAUCUUUCUCAGAGUUCUUUUGUCAUUCUCUGUCGCUUGAUCAGGGUAUUCCCGAUUCUUCACAUAUUGUAAGAUACUCCGAUACCAAGGACAAUCAUCUUUUCCCUCCUCCUCAAUAUUGCAACAAUUAGCCGGGGUCUCAGAGAUACUCAUCUGAACAGGCCUCAUUGCCUCAAGUCUAUUCACCUGAAUCAUCGAAGCUAGAGUAGCUAAUGCAUCAGCCAUUUGGUUUUCCUCCCGUGGGAGGUAAUAGAAGGUGAUAUCGUCAAACUCCUCAGCCAAUUCAAGAACUAGUUUUCUAUAACCAAUUAGCUUAGGAUCUCUAGUCUCCCACUCCCCUUUGAGUUGGUAUAUCACCAACGCUGAAUCCCCGUAUACUCUCAGUACUUUGAUGUUCCGUUCAAUGGCUGCACGAAUGCCCAUAAUACAUGCUUCAUAUUCUGCCAUGUUAUUUGUACAAUCGAAGUCCAACUUGCUGGCUACAGGAUAAUGAUCUCCACUCGGGGAUACCAAAACUGCCCCAACUCCAUUACCCGUAGCAUUCGAAGCUCCAUCAAAAUUUAACUUCCAUACGUGAUCCAUUUGAGGGUUUUCUUCAGUAUUCGCCACAUACAUCAAGUCCUCGUUUGGAAAAUCGAAAUUCAAAGAUUCAUAGUCCUCCAAGGCUCUACUAGCUAGGAAAUCGGCUAUUGCACUUCCCUUUAUGGCCUUCUGACUGACAUAUACUAUAUCAAAUUCUGAGAGCAAGAUCUGCCAUCUAGCCAUUCUCCCGUUCAAAGCAGUUGAUUCCAUCAUAUAUUUUAAAGGAUCUAACUUUGAAAUCAGCCAAGUCGUGUGAUACAACAUAUACUGCCUCAGUCUUCGGGUUGCCCAGAUUAGAGCACAACACAACUUCUCAAUUGAUGAGUACCUCAUCUCGCAAUCGGUAAAUUUCUUACUGAGAUAGUAUAUUGCCCUUUCUUUCUUUCCUGUCUCAUCAUGUUGGCCCAAUACGCAUCCCAUGGAAUUCUCCAACACUGUUAGAUACAAUAUCAAUGGCCUAUCUGGACUUGGAGGUGAUAAGACUGGAGUAUUAGCCAAGUACUGUUUUAUCUUAUCGAAAGCUCUCUGACACUCUUCAUCCCAUUCGCCCGGGUUAUGUUUCUUUAAGAGCCGGAAUACUGGAUCACAUUUCUCUGUCAGUUGUGAGAUGAACCGAGCGAUGUAAUUCAGCCUCCCUAGGAAACCUCGAACCUCCCUCUGAGUGCGCGGGGGAGGUAAAUCUCGUAUUGCCUUUACUUUGUCUGGGUCAACCUCGAUCCCCUUUUUGCUAACUAUGAAGCCUAAUAACUUCCCUGAUCUGGCUCCGAACGUGCAUUUGGCCGGGUUAAGCUUGAGCUGAAAUUUCUUUAAUCUCAAAAAUAACCUUUUCAAAACCUGAACAUGCUCUUCUUCCGUUCUGGACUUCGCGAUCAUAUCGUCAACAUAGACUUCGAUCUCCUUGUGCAUCAUGUCGUGAAACAAAGUCACCAUAGCUCUUUGAUACGUUGCUCCCGCAUUCUUCAAUCCGAAGGGCAUUACCUUGUAACAGAACGUUCCCCAUAAGGUAAUGAAUGUGGUUUUCCUCAUGUCUCCGGGAUGCAUCUUUAUUUGAUUGUAUCCAGAGAAACCGUCCAUGAAAGAAAACAAUGAAUGGCCCGCCGUGUUAUCUACCAAAGUAUCAAUGUGAGGUAGUGGAAAGUUGUCCUUUGGACUAGCCUUGUUUAAAUCCCUAUAAUCCACACACAUUCGUACCUUUCCAUCUUUUUUGGGAACAGGGACGAUGUUGGCUACCCAAUCCGAAUACUUGACCUCUUGUAAGAAACCAGCGUCGAAUUGUCUUUUGACUUCCUCUCUUAUUUUCAACACAAUGUCAGGUCUCAUUCUCCUAAGCUUCUGUUGAACGGGUUUACAAUCCUUCUUUAUGGGCAGACGAUGUACCACAAUGUUAGUAUUUAGCCCAGGCAUAUCUUGGUACGACCACGCGAAAACAUCCUUGAACUCUCGGAGCAAAUUGAUGAGGUCUUGCCUUGUCUUUGCGGUAAUUUCAGUUCCAAUUUUCACCUCCUUUCCAUCCUCUAGGCUCACUAUUUCUAACGAUUCCCUAUGAGGUAGGAUAUGCUUAUCCUCUUGUUCCAUCAUUCUUAACAAGUCCGGAGAUGCAUCAUAAUCUUCGUCAUUUUCAAAGUCGUGGGAUCCCUCUGAACACACUUCUUGCUCAAAAAUAGGCUCCGCGUUUGAGACAGCAUCACUCAUGUCAUUGAUAUCUGAAGACCUAUGUGGGCAGAUCAAAUAAUAUACCAAGAAUAUAAAUUUAUGAAUAUGUUUGCAAAAGAAUCACAAAUGAAAGAAUUAUUUGUAAGACAAUCAACCAAAUGAAAAAUAUGAAAGGAAAAAAAAAAAGAAAAAAAAGUGACUGAUCGAGAUGAACGUAGACACGUAUUUUAUUAAAAUAAUGAUAUUUAGGCCCAAUGCCUAUUUCACAAAAAAUUUCGUAUCGUUUCUAGGCCAACAAACAACAGGAAUGUUUUGAGCAUUACUCUGAAUAAGCCCUAAAGACUACAGGGAUUUCUUCAGCAGUCCAAUUGUUUAGCUCGCUUCCAGGCUCAUAAGGGCGGAUCUCCAACAAAGCCCUCCUUUCCGUUGCUUCUAUGGUGUUAAUAUAAACGUUUUCCAACAUUCCUCCCAUGCCGCUACCGGAUACCCCACAUUCAGAAUGAAUAAAUCCUCCCGACACAAAAGAUGAAGAUAUGUGGGGAAAGGUUAAAGGCUCACACUUAGCUUCAUGUCCAUUCAAACGCGCCCUUCUUCUCGCUUGUCUCUUCUCUACUUCUUUCUUCUUCUGCUUCAUGUCUGGCUUGUACCCUAAACCAAAUCUAUCAAAUUUUUCCCUCGGCAUUGGUGCCUCAAUCCUCCCCUGAAGGUAUUUUCCCAAUCCUUUCCCGGGUAAGGCUCCUCUUCCUACCAUCAAUCGCAAUCCCAUCUCAGUGGUCCUGGACAUUUUCGGUACUGGAAUCCUAUUUCCCUCCGCAAUAAACAUCGCGUUCACAAAUUCUAACGACCGAAAAGAACAUUCCAGUGCCUCAUCGUUGAUGUCCACAUAAGGUGCCUCGCUAGUCAUCAUUGCGAUAAUAUCCUCCUCUGCAUCUAUUGUUACCAACCGAUCCUCCGAUACCAACUUCACCUUCUGAUGUAAUGAUGAAGGUACCGCCCCUGCUGAGUGUAUCCACGGUCUCCCCAAUAGACAGUUGUAGGAGGGUUUAAUAUCCAUUACCAAGAAAUCCACCUCAUAAGUGACUGGGCCAAUCCUUAAUGGUACUUCAAUUCUCCCCAUAACCUCCUUUUUUGUUCCAUCAAAUGCCCUUACUAUGCUCUGGCAUGCUUUCAUGUGCGAACUGUCUAUUGGUAAUCGACUAAGAGUGGACAAAGGCAAUACAUUUAGUGCAGAUCCAUUAUCGACCAAGGCCCCCGGGAGUGUGUACCCUUUGCAUCGGACAGUAACGUGGAGGGCUUUAGUAGAACCUCUUCCUCCGGAUGGUAUUUCAUCAUCAUUGAAGAAGAUAAAAUUGUCAGCACCAAUAUUGUUGAUCAACCGAUCCAACUUGUUUACUGAAAUAUCGUCAGCCACAUAUGUUUCGUUUAGCACCUUUAAGAGUGCAUUCCGAUGUACUUCUGAGUUUAAGAGUAAAGCUAAUACCGAAAUGCGGGCUGGCUGUUUGUGCAGUUGCUCCACAACACUGUAUUCGCUGUGUUUCAAAAACUUCAAAAACUCAUUCGCCUCUUCUUCUUUUAUUGGUUCAUUUACCAAUGGUUCAACUUCUACUGCCUUCCCUUUCCUCUGUUCUUUCUUCCAAUUCUCUUCCCUGGACGACUCUGCUUGAGCGUCAUAUCUUUUUCCCUUGCGCGUGUAAAAAACUGUUUCCUGAUUUCUUUCUGCUUCUUUUCCCAAAAUGGUCACAUUACACCCGUAAUUCCACGGCACCAUUUUGUUAUCUUUAUAAGAGAAAUUUGAUGGUUUCUGGAUUACAAUUUUCGGCGUUACCUGAGCCCUAACCUCAUUACCCUUAGGGCGGGAGAUAAUGACCACAGGAUGAUUUAUUUUUGGAGCCUUUGUUCCCAACUCUGUCGCGCAUAUGCUCCUCAUUUCUUUCACAUCUUCAUAAAACCUCAUCUCCUUGUUAUCCAUCAUGCUUUGAACCAAGGCCUUGAAUCCUUCACAUUCUUGGAUUUCAUGCCCUGUUUCAUGGUGAAAUUCACAAUAAUUUCCCAUCUCAUGCCCUUUCUCAGAAUCUGAAAUAAUCAAACCUCUUUUCGCCAUUUCUUUCCAGACCCAUUUCAAUGGAGUUUUUACUUCAGCAAUGUCAGUCUUGACUUCUUCUCCCGUACCUUCGCUAACCAUAUUCACCCCCUUAUCUGCGUGAUUAGGUAACGGAUUCUUUGCGUUAGGUGAGUCGUCAAGUUUGACAACACCUAAAUUGAUAAGUCCUUCUACUACCUUCUUGAAGGCAGUACAAUUUUCUAUCGAGUGCCCAGAAAUUCCCGCAUGAUAAUCACAUUGCGCGUUCGUAUCAUACCAUUUUGGAUACGGGGGUUGUAGAGGACUCAAGUAACGAGGAGCAACAACAUGUGCAUCGAAUAAAGUCUGAUACAACUCCUUGUAUGACAUCGGGAUUGGCGUGAAUUGGGGCUUUUCAGUAGUUUGCCUAGCUCCUGACUCUUGUCUUGAUGAUCCCUGUUGAUUAGCAACCACUUUCUUUGGUUGAUUCACGGUAAUUGACCUACCAUAAGCAUUCACAUUAUUCACUUCAUUUUCUCUUUUCCUCGGGGGUGCCCUCCUAUUAUUUUCUCCUCCAUCUAUUUUUCCACUUUUAAUGGCAUGCUCAAUCAUUUCACCAUUCAUGAUUAUAUCUGAGAAAUUUCUUGAAGCGCUUCCCAACAUGUGAGUGAUGAACGGGGCUUUCAAAGUAUUAAUAAAAAGCGUCGUCAUCUCUUUUUCCAAAAGCGGUGGUUGCACCUGAACCGCCACCUCUCGCCACCUCUGCGCAUAUUGUCUGAAGCUUUCGUUUGAUUUCUUCUCUAAAUUUUGCAGAGUUAUCCUGUCAGGCAUCAUUUCUGAGACAUGAUUGUAUUGUCUCAAGAAAGCCUGUGCUAAAUCCCUCCAAGUAGCAAUUUUAGCUCGGCUCAGCUGAUUGUACCACUUUGACGCCGCUCCCGUAAGACUUUCCUGAAAGCAAUGUAUUAAUAAUUGAUCAUUAUUAAUAUGCCCCGUCAUUCUUCUACAAAACAUAGUAAUAUGGGAUCCUGGGCAACUAGUCCCGUUGUAUUUCUCGAAUUCCGGCAUCUUAAAUUUGUAAGGGAGCACCAAGUCCGGAACCAAGCUCAGAUCCUUUGCAUCUGUUCCAUAGCUUUCGAUGCUUUCUAUUGCCCUAAACUUCUCUUCUAUCCAUUUCCAUUUCUCCUCAAAUUGUUUUGGAAAUUCCUCCUUCGCCUUGUCCUUUUCAACCAUCUCGUCAAGAUCUGGGACCGCAAUAUUAUUCGGGCUAUCACCGGGAUUAAAGCCCGCUCCGGGUUGAAAAUUCAUUGGGAUUGAAGCAUCGCCUUGGAACUGCUGGGGUCUAACCGACACAGAGGGUCUCCGCGAAUGCAGCUCAGUCUGUACAUGUGGAGGCGUGAAACCUGGAGGAUAGAGUGGUUCACCAUUGUUUUCUUCUUCACUAACAAUCACAGGCCCUUUACCCUUAUCUACUCCCUUCAAUAAUUGCGUCAUCUUAGCCACCAGAUCAUUUUGGGACUCCUCCAUCUUUUGUACCAUGUCACGCUGAAUCUUUUCUAUUUGCUCUUUCAUUUGCGCCUGCAACUGGUCUUGCAUUUCUCUUUGAAGUCGCUCUAGCUUCUCUAACCUUUGGUCCAUAAUUUUUGUCUUUGCUCGGGUGCCGUAACUUUGUUGGUUUUCCAGGUUAACUGAAAUGAUUUUAUUCGAUUAGGUUUUUUUAAUGGUCAUUAAUGCAUAUGAUGUGAUGCAAUGCAUGAAAGAGAAUGCAAAGAAAAAGAGGCACUGAUUUUAAUUCAACUUCAUUAGAAAACUUUACUAGAUAAAGAGUUUCUUUACAUAAAAUAGACUACAUAUAUGGCUUUGCCCUCACACUCAAAGCCUUAACCUUUCUAAGAAGCCAAGCUAAUUCUCGGCCCCUGUCCGACUCUGACUCAUACUUCAAACUUAAUAGAUCAGCCUGAACCGCUAGAGUUUGCAGAUGAUCAGCCACUUCGCGCACCUGAGUCACCGCCUCUCCCAUAAUAUAAUCUCUUUCUCCAAUCUGCUCUUGAGACCGACGGAAUUGUCCUUGCCACUGCUCAUUACUUUCUUCUAGAAGCUCUAUCCGGAUUUCACUAUUUUGCAAUGCAUUCUCUAGCCCUCCUAUCUGUGUUUUUAAUUCUUCAAUUUUGUCUAAGCUCGCCCUUAAUUCAACCGUAGUAUUACGAUUACAGUACUGGCGAAGCGAUCUUUCCAGUUCUGUUAUCCGGACCUUCAACUCCGUCUUCUCGUCUUGGCAAACUAGUAGACUCUUUUCCAAGGCGGCUUCUCGAGCCCGAGCAUCCUGAAAUUUCUUUUCCCAUUGAUUAGCUUUCGUCUUUUCCUCCUGAAUUUCUUGUCGCCAUUGUUCUGGUGUUUUACCCAAGCCAGCGGCUCUUACUGACUUACGCAACUUCUUGUAAUCUGUCUUCAGGCUGUCCAAAUCUUCUUCUGCCUUGUUCUUUCCUUUCCUCAAUUUGUUGGCCUCUAAUCUUUGAAUGUCCACAUCCAGUCCUAACUGCAUUUUUUCUUCCUCAAGUUGUUCUAUCUUCUUCCCCAAUUCUAAACUUCUUUUUUCGAAUUCUUGUUUGAUGAUUUCUAUCUCAGAAGGCAAGACUUGUAAGUGUUCCUCUAAAGAUCGAGCCGUUUCUGAAUUUGACGCCGGGAUGUUGUCGUUGAUCCUUUGAUUACGCCACUGACCAUACUCGGGGGUAAUUGUCGGACCCACAGCUAAGAUCUUCAUUCGACGAGUCUGGUUCCAGGCACUAGAUAUUUCUCGAACCUUCUUCUUGUAAUUGUCCUCCCUAUAGGAAAAAUCACUAUAAGCCAACCCCUGGGUUGCUGGUAUGAAUUGUCGUGAUCUAUACUGUCUUGACACGAGUAGAGGAGCAUAUCCAAUAGCUCCCCAUAUCCCGAGCAGCGGAACCCAGUCAAAAUCUCCACAUCGGUACAAUAUCUCAUCAGGAAUUAACCAAGGAGCCCUCCAUUCAAUAUCUUCAUCUUGGAGAUUCUGGAGUAUCUCUAUCCAUUUUUCUUCUAAAAUAUCAUCCCGUCUUGGCGUGGCCACCAAUUCUCCUAGAGGGGAGUAGCUAUCGGAGAAUACCCGGUAAGAGACCUUUUCGACUUUCCAGAAGUGGCUAUGGAACCAUGCCAAUAAGAGCUGCGCGCAUCCGAUAAACCUUCCCUCCCCUGCUUUUCGACACGCAUUCAAGGAUCUAAAAGUUUCCGCGAGUAUUGCCGGAACCGGUGUAACCCCUUUACCAAGCCGAUCGAACAAAUCAGAUACAGCCUCGUCUAUGUGUCCUAAAGCUUUGGGGAAAACCACUAGUCCAUAGAUACCUAAAGCGAAGACAUCGACCCUUUUCUUUAAGUCAGGAUGUACAAGCACCAAAUCUCGCAAACUUUUCCAAGGAACACAUUUACUGUCGCCCUUCUGUUGGAUCCGGGCAGCGACCCACUGCUCGCUCAUCCCAGUGAUGUUCAUUAAUUUCUUUAACAACGGAGGGACACAAGCAGCUCUGGAAUAAGCCUUGUCGACUUGAAUCUUUGGGCACCGAAGCAAGGUCGUAUACUCCUCCACAGUAGGCGUCAAAUCUACCUUCCCAAAAGUGAAACAACUGUAGGCAGGAUUCCAAAACUGAGCAAGGGCUCGGAAUAAAUACUUGUCCACUUUGACACUGAGCAGAUAAGGUAGGUCACCAUAGUUACAAUAGAACAGCUCCUUGGCCUCGACAUCCCAUUGAUCCCAGACUUCUUUCAUUUCUCGAAGGUCAUUCUGGAUUACACUGAUACGGGUAAAAUCCCACAAUUCUGACACGUACCCUUCGGUAAGACUAUCGCCUUUCUCCCGUUGCGUCGUUUCAGCCCAUAUUCGCACAGCCGCAUUAUCCUCUACUUUAUCAACAAACCCCUUUUCCAUGAUAAGCUUUCUACUAAGAAACUGAACGUAAAUCGACACCUCUUUUAGAAUGAAGAUGCCAUGCAAUCACAAACAAAGUAAAUUAGCAUUAAACACAGCAUAAGAUUUAAAAUAAACGACAAAUAAAUACAACAUUCAUUUAGGUAGGCACUAAAAUUUUAGAGUAGCUCUACCUAGGUCGGUUCCUAUGGCUCAUUACAUGUGGUUUGGUUCUAAAGUAGGGUACCUGAACCAGCAAAUUCCUCGAUCCUCACCCAUUAUAGGCUCAUACGGACCAAGUUCGAUUCAGGGGGAUACAUUUCCCUAUGGCCAUGCGGAGAUGAAAAUCUCACGAAGACAUAGGUACGGAUAUAUCCCGAAAGCGAUUCACUAUCCCAUGCGGAGGUGAAAACCUCACGAAGGCGUAGCUUCUCACUCCCACUUAAAGGUGUGACCAACGGUCAUGCAAUGCAAUGCGGAAAGAUACCAAAAUUUAAACAAUCAGAGCAAUUAUAAACCCCCAAUGAUGAUGAUUAUGAUAAAGACAGAUAAAAUGCGAUGAAAGGAUCGUAAUUUUAAAUCAAAUUUUCAAUUUUUGACAAAAGACGAAAAGUAAUCACUACGUGGCUUGACCCUCUUAUCGGUUCCCCAGUGGAGUCGCCAAGCUGUUGGUACCAUUUUUUUGGAUGAAAAUGGGGUCGACUUGGGUUUUGAAAAAAAGAAACGGGAAUGGGAGUCGCCACCAAUCCUUUUUUAUGAGGUGUGAUUGGAUUACCUCGAAAAAUGGUUAUUUUUAAUAAACGGUUUGAUUUUAUUAAAACAACAAGUUUGGUCCACGAAAUUCAGAAAAAACAAAAUGGGUUCGGGAGUCGGUUACGCACGAGGAAGGAUUAGCACCCUCGAUACGCCCAAAAUUGGUACCUAGUUGAUUACUUAAUGUCUUAAUGUCAAAAAUUGAGAACCUUGAAGAAUUUUAAAAAUACGAUCCUUAUAUUAAAACGUUGAAAAUUUUCAGAGAAAAAAAAAGGGGCAUAUUUCACGUUAUUCGAGAAGGAGAAUCAUAUCCAGUAAGUUAGGACACAAUGUCUCAAAUUCCCGAUACGCGGAUGAAAAAUGCUUAUUUAAAAGAUAUUUUAUUAUCUUGGUUUUAGAAAUAAAUCAGGCCCAGUAAGUUAGGGCACGAUCUUUUCUUAAUUCCCGAGAUCGUUUAAAAACUUGAGUUUGAAAAGAUUCGUGUAUUUAGAUUUAUUAUGAAAAUCGAAACCCAGUAAGUUAGAGUACGAUCCUUUCGAAUCUAAACACGAAAUAUUUUUUAAAACAAAUUUUGUUAUACCGAGUAAAAUAAAACAUGAAAAUCGUAGUAAAAUGUGAAAACAAAUUACAUUGUUGUUAUACGUGGUAAAAUCAUAAUACACAUAAAAAAUAAAAAAUAAUACGAGCAAUAGCAACGAUAUAAAAUAAAUAAAAGUCAUACGUACAAUCAUAUAAAAUAACAAUAUAUAUAAACAAAUAAAUUAAAACAUUCAUUCAAAAUAAUAACGAAAAUGAAAUAAAUAAGUAACAAAUACAAUUAAAUAUAAAAAGAUAUAUAUAGACAUAAACUAAAAUAUGUAUAUAUAUAUAAAUUAGCAAAAUGUAUAAAGUAUAUUUUAAUAUAUAAAAGAAACGAUAAUAUGUAUAUAUAAAAAUAUGUACAUAUAUAUGGGUGUAUAAAACUAUGGAAUAUGAAAAUAAUAAAAUACAUAUAAAGUAAGUACAUAUAUGUUGAAAAUAAAAGAAAGAAUGUAUGUACAAAUUAAAGUUUAAAAUAAUGAAAAUAUACGUAUGUAUACGAAUAAAUACGUUAAUUUUGAUACAUGUUAAAAAAGUAUAUUGAAAAUGUAUAUAUAUAUUUAUGUAAAUUAAGAUAUACAAAAAUAUGUAUGUACGUACAUAUAAAAAUAUAUAUACUUAUAAAAUAAAAGGAUAUGUACGUAUAUAAAUUAAUAGUAACAUGUGUGUAUAUAUGGAUUUAUAAAAAAGGAGUAUAUUUUAAACUAUAAAGAUUAUAUAUAAAUAUGUAUAUAUUUAGGAAAAUGAAAAUAUAUAUAUAAAUGUAUAGAUAUGUACAUAAGUUGUAAAAUAUAUAAACUAUAUAAGUAUAUAUGUUAUAAAAACAAUGUAUGUAUAUCACAAAAAUAUAUGCAUGUAUAUGUAUAUAUGUGCCGAAAAUUUAAAUAAAAUAAACAUAAACAAAUAGGUAAUAAUAAUAAUAAUAAUAAUAAUAGGACUAAAUCAAAACGGAAACGAAAUCUCAGGGCUGAAAUCAAAAAUGAAAUAGAGUAAAGGAUUAAAAUGUGAGGCGCGCGAAAAGGGAAGGACUGAAAAGGGAAAUAUUCCCUCCUAGAGUGCCACGUUUCAGCGCAAAGGACCAUACAUGGUCAAAGGACCUGAUUGAAACAUAAACAAAACUCGCGGCCCAAAUCAAAAAAAAUAAAAGGUUUGAUUGCAUUUCGACGCAAGAUGGAGGGACUAAAUACAUAAAUUACCCAUUAGGGCAAAGCAUGCACAAAUCCCCCCAUCACCUGGCGCCGUUUCUUCUAACAUAAAUACCCAAUAAAGAAAAAAUGUUGCUUCAUUUUUCUAAAGAAAAACAGAGGGCUCAGCCCCUCUCUCUCACAGGCUCCAAGUCCCGCCGAUAGGGCCGUCGCCGGCGCCGCCGUGACCCUCGCCGUCAUCAGUGACCGGGGCAACGCAAAGGUCACCCCUUUGGUCCGUUUUUGAAACACUUGAAGGCCUAAACUCCUAGACUUCAAGGCCGAAAGGAGAAAAACCACGUGCCCCCUUUUCACGUCCUGAUUUCGAUGACCGAAAUGGCCGGCGAAGGGCUCUCCGGCGAUCCCAGGUAUUCUCCUUCCUCUCUUUUUUUAAAUAAUUUUCUUAAGAAAACGAUUUCGAAAAAAAAAAGAAAAGAAAUCGACAAAGAAAAAAAACGAAGAACAAAAACAGCAACCCUUUUUAUUGAUUUCUGAUUUUUUUUGUCUCCGAAAAUUCCCCCAUCGUCGGCCAAAUGGGCCACCGUCGACCCCGCCGUGAGUGGUGGUCAGAAGCCCGAACGUCGGGUUUUUAAACCCUGCUUCAAGAACCAACUGAAGACUAAGUCUUCAUGGCCUCGGGGUCGCGAGAGAAAAAUCAAAUCGCUGCCUUCCCCGCCCAAUUUCGGUGACCCGAAGUCGGACUCCGGCGACGACACUUGCGAGGCGAUUUAGGUAAGGUUCUUUCUCCUUUUUUAUUUCGUUUUUGUUAAGAUAGAUUCAUUAUAUAAAAGAAAAAACAAGCAAAUAUAAAACAAACAAAAGAGAAUAGGAAGUCUGAAUCCACCUUUAAAUGUUUUCUCUGCCUUUUUUCAUUAGCUGUUGUGUUGUGAAAAUGUUACAAAAGGAAAGACCCGAUUAUAGUGAUCAAGCUUUCCCCCCCUCUUUUCAUUGGUUUGAAUAGCUUUAUAUAGCCCUAAUAUAUUUUUUAUUAUUUGUUGUCUUUUCUUCUUGUAGAUGGCAGUGCAAGUGGAGGGCAGGUGCGGCGGCAACAGGUGGAGCAGGUGGUGGCAAAGUUGGUGGUGACAGAGGGUUAGGGGUUAGGUUUUUUUUUCUGAAAGUGUUUGGGUUAUUGGGCUAGUAGUUGGGCUUUGGGUCUGUUUUGGGUCUUGGGUUUGGGCUGGUUCAAAUUGGGCUUGUACAGGUUUCUUUGUUUAUAGAGAAAUUCCAUGAUAUUCAAAAUAUAGAGAGUUAAAAGGCGGUUAUUUUACUAAAUUGACAAAAAAAUUAAAUAUUUAUAAGAAUAAUUUAGAUUCAAAAAUAUUAACGAAAAUAACCUAGAAGGAACAAUGUACAGUGCUGUCGGCAACUCUAUGACUGGCACCCAUGUCAGAAAUGAUUAAAAAAUAUAUUUUUGGUGCCGGUAAUACAGUAGUCGACAUCCAUGUAUAUUUUUUUUACCCGUAUUUUGUACAAUACAUUUUAUACUUAAUUUUAAAAAUUAAUAAUUUUUUUGAGUGCCAUAUAGUGGGUGGCCAGCACCCAUUUUCAAACCUUUUUAAUUUUUUGGUGCCAGUACUGAGGUAGCCAACACCCAUUUUCAAUGACAAAUAUUAUUUUUCUUGAUCUCGUGAACCCAUCGGUCGGCAUCAGUACAUAUUGGAAUUUCGUGAUCAAAAAACAAAAAGAAAAAAAUAUGUAAACUCAUCUUUUGCAAAUGAUUCUCUUCGCUAUUUCUUCCCAAACCCCUCCUUUUCAUCAUCUCUUGUUUCAGAAAACUAAAAAGAAAAAAAAAGACUUAUGAUAUAAUUUAUCUGUUUCAGAAAAUGAAAAGCCAAAAACAUUUUAGAAAAUGAAAAAAAAAUUGAGAAGAAUGGAGGAAGAGAAAAAAAAAAUUUGAGAUAUGGAAAAUGAAAAUGAAUGGAACAGUUGGGUUUUCAAUGAGGGAUACAACUCAUUUCUUUUUGUUUUAGUUUUAUUUAUUUAUUUAUUUACUUGUUUGUUGGUUUUCAAUGUUCUGUUGGCUUUUCAUUUUCAGAAACAGUUAAACUAUCGAAAGUUUUUUUUUUUUUAAUUUUUUGAAACAGGAGAUGAUGAAAAGGAAUGAAAGAGUUUGGGAAGAAAUAGUGAGAGAGAACUAGUUGCAAUAGAUGAGUUUGCAUAUUUUUUUCUUUUGGUUUUUUUAUCAUGGAAUACCCAUAUGUAUUGUUGUUGGCCACCUGCUACAAGACACCAAAAAAAUUGUUUUUUUAAAGCCAUGUGUAAAAUGUAUUGUACAAAAUAUAAGCAAAAAAUACACAUGGGUGCCAGUCAUUACAUUACCGACACCAAAAAAAAAACUUAAUCCUUUCUGACAUGAGUGCCAGCCAUGGGGUUGUCGGCACCAUCGUGCAUUGUUCCUUCCAGGUUAUUUUUAUUAAUGUUUUUGAAUCUGGGUUAUUCUUAUAAAUAUUUAAUCUUUUUAGGUCAUUUUAGUAAAAUAGUGUAACACCUCUUACCCGAGACCGUUGCCGGAAUCGAGUACGAGGCAUUACUUAGCUUAUCUUACUAAUUCGGGGCAUAAAAAUUCGUUUUAAAAAUUAAUUUCACUGUUUACAGUAAUCUGUCCAAUCGCGCAGCAGUUACUAAAUUGAUUAUAACUCGAGCUACGGAACUCCAAAUUUAAUUUCGUAAUUUUUUCCUGAAACUAGACUCAUAUAUCUUUCUACCAUAAAAUUUUCAGAAUUCUUGGUUUGACCAAUUAAUACAGUUUAUUAGUUAAAUUCUCCCCUGUUUCUUCACUCGACUGUCCUGACCCCUUGGUACUAAAAAUAAAUUUUCUCAUUAUAGGAUUUUCAUAUGAUAUUACCACUUUUCAAUCAAUACACAAUUCACAUAUUCACAUAUCUCAAUUUAAUAUCUCAUUUAUUCAAUUCAUAUUUUAAUUCAUCCAAUUAAAUAUUGAUAUUCUCCUUAUUUUUAUUUACUAACAUAUUAUUCAAAAUUCAAUAAUUACUGUCAAUAAAUUCAAUAUCAAUACGUAUAUAUAUUAUUCAAUUCAAUUAUGAAACUCACCUCAAUUUGCUUAUCGUGUAUAUUAAUUUAAUUUUCAACGAUUAAUAAUUAAAUUCGAAUUAUAGUAAUACUAACCGCAAUUUCUCUCGAGUCACUCCUUGUCCACUUUCUCCUUUCCUUUCUCGGACAAUGACUCGUACACGACAUUAGCUACGUAAUUAAACAAUUAAAAAUCAUUAAUACACAAUUUCAUUAAAAUAUUUCCUUUUAUACCUAAACUUUACCCAAAUUCUAAUUUAAUCCCUUACCAAUACUAAUUUUAUUUUUCCCAAUCUAACUCUACAUUCUCUCUUAAUUCUUACUAUAAAGUCAAUUUAAUUCCUCAAUUUCACCAUAAAUCCCUAAUUUCGGGAUUCUUUCAAUUUAAUCCCUAUCGAUUCAAAACUUAUAUUUUAUUUUACAAUCACAUUCUUUACUAACUUCUAACUUGAAAUUAAAUCAAUUUAACCCCUAACUAAACCUAUAUAUUUUUCUUUCUCAAUUCAUACCCUUAUUCUACCCAAUUUCUUACUAAACUCAUAUUUAACUAUUUAAUUUUUAUCAUGUUUUCAUAAUUCCGAAUUUAUUUCAAAUUAAUCCCUAAAAUUCAAAACUUAUAGUUUAGUUUACAAUUCAAUCCUUUAUUCAAUUCCAAUCAAAAUUUCUAUCAAAUACAUCCCUAAUUUAACAAUUUAUUCAACAUGAACCAUGCUUAAUAAUCUACUAACUUCCAAAAUUUCAACUUAAAUCAAGUAGUAUUUUGUUCUAGGAUUUCAAAAAAAAUAUCAAAAUUAAGAGAAAAGGGGAUUAAAUUGACUUACCAAAUUACUUUGAACCUUAAAACCCCAAAUUUCUCUUUUUCUUUUCUUUUCUUUCUUUCUUUCCUUCCUUCCUUCUCUGUUUCGUUUUGCUCUCUGUUUCUUUCUUUCUCCCUUCUCUGUUUUGUUUUGCUCUCUGUUUCUUUUCUUUCUUUCUUUGUCAUAUAUAUAUAUAAUAUAAUAUAAUAUAAUAUAAUAUAAUAUAAUAUAAUAUAAUAUAAUAUAAUAUAAUAUAUUAAUAAUAAUAUAAUAUAUUAAUAAUAAUAUAAUAUAAAAACAUAAUUAUUACUUACGCAUGUAUAAUAUAAUAUAUAUAUUUAAAAUUAAAAAUAUCUUAGAUUUUUCUUUUGUUAUGCCGCCUCAACUUUAGAAAAAGGCAUAAUUGCCUAUUUGGUCCUUUAACUUUUCUUUAAUCUAUAAUUAAACUUUUAUCCUUACUUCAAUUUAGUCCUUUUUCAUAAUUAACUAUCAAAGCGUUAAAAUUUCUUAACAAAACUUUAAUAUUAUCCUGUUGACACUCCGUAAAUAUUUUUAUAAAUAUUUACGACUCAGUUUAUAAUAUCGAGGUCUCGAUACCUCGUUUUCGACCCAAUUUACCUAAUAAUUUCUUUUAAAUCACAAAAUUCACUGAUUUAAAAAUAUUUCUAAAAUCACACUUAACUUAUAAUUAUUAAUUAAUAAAUUUUUCUAACUUUUUCAUCAAUUUUAGUGAUCUCAAAUCACUAUUCUGACACUACUAAAAAUUAGGUUGUUACAAAUAGCCACCAAAGGUGAAACCUGGAGAAGGAAGCUUGUGAAAAGAUUUAGAGAAAGGAAAAUAGUAAGGUAAAAAGGAGAAAAAUAAAAACCAGAGAUGCGAAUCCAGUUUUGAACUUGUUUAAACAACAAGAAUAUGAAAAAUAUAUAUUUAUAUAGAAACUUGAACUUUUUUUUAGUUUUUAAUUUUUUUUAAUUUUUUUAUAAUUUCCAACUUUUUAGUUUUAAACUCAUCUAGAAUAAUUCUAAUCAAAUGGUUAGCAAGAUUCAAAUGAACAUAGACAAUCAUUUGUCCAGGUUCAUUUUAGAUAUAAUUUUUAUUAAUUAUUUCAACAUCGUUCCACGUGGUCAACUUCUAGUAGCUGUCGUCUACCAUGCCAACACCUAUAAUAGUCAAACCGGUCAACUAAUUGUUUUUGUUAAUAGAAGGACCUAGUUGAUUAUGUUUUGGUCAUUAAUGACUCAAUAGGACACUUUUUUUAAAGGGCUCAAAUGAUAUUUUUUUUUCCAUUUUUUACUAAGGGCUUCUUUGACCCUUAAGCCAAAUCAAUUUAAUUAAUAUUUUGAGAAAUAGAAAAUAAUAAUUGAGUUAGAUAAAUUAUAAGUGUUGGAUAAAAAUCCGGAUAACGUAUAUAAUUGUAAAUAAUAUACAAGAGGCCCAAUAAACAUUGUUUUAUGAAAGGGGCGAAAAACUCUAGAAUUUUCUAGAAUGUGUUGCAGCCCCUUGUGUUCCACUUCUAGUAGAAGAUUGUAUUUUCUAUUAAGCUAUUAUUAUUUAAUUACAUUUUAUUUAAACAAAACUCUUGUAUUGUUUCUCUAUAAAUAAAAACUAUAAAUUAACCUAAUUAGUAUUUUUUGAGAGCUCAUAGUUUUCGGUUCUUAUAGAGAGAAUUAACAAGCCUACUGAAAGUUAAGAAAAAAAAAUUCACUAUGUGCAUUGGUUCGUGCAAAUCUGGGUUUAAGGAUAAUAGAGAAGGUUGUCGAUAGAAAGUUGAGAAACAACGUUGAUCUCAUCGCACAAAACACAAGUACUAAUUUAAUUAAGAAUUUAUUAUUAUAAAUAUUAUAAUGCCCAAUUUUAAAAAACUUAAGCUCUCCUUAUACCUAAAAAUAUUCUUUUUUAAACUAAUUUUUUCAAAAAUCCUAACAUUGACAAAGAUAUUGUGUGUACUUGCAGAGGACCCUUGGCUUAAGUAGAUUGUUAGACUCAACAUUUAUUGUUCUAGGAAUGUGAUCUAUCUCCCAACAACAAAUAGAUUUAAAAAUAUGAUAAUGUGGAGCAUUAUCAAGUGAAUGAUCUUAAUGUGUGAAAAUUGGCUUUUAAUGGGCCCAUAACAAAAAAAAGUUAGAGAUAGUGACUAUUGAUUAUCAAGCUUACGAGAAUCAUCGGAUCCCUAUUAAAUUGACGGAUUGUAAUAAAUUAUGCCUAAUUUUUCUUUAUUUUUUUGGAUUAUAAAUUUCCUAACCAAACUUUGUCGGUUACUAUUGGUAAAAAGAGCUCGCAGGAAAAUGAUAAAAAAUUGAAGAUCAAAACGUAGAGAGAGAGGUGUGGGGGAAAGGCAAAGUUAGAAGAUACAUUGUGCUUGAGAUAAAGAGGAUUUCAGUGUUUCUAGAUCAAUUAUGUAAAGACAGAUACAUUGUGCUUUAAGAAAAAUGGACACAAAUGGAUUUCACUUGUGCUAUUGUUAACAUCUAUGCCCAGUAUGUUAAUGAUGAGCAAGUGUUGUUGUGGGAAGAUAUUCUGGAUAUUAGAAAUAACAUCUCUUGACCUUGAUGUUAUUGGGAAAUAUACCUAUAUUGUAUUAAAUAUAUAAUUAUUUUUUUAUGUAUUUGAACGAUGAAUAAAUAGAUAAAAUUAAUUUUACAUUUCACUAAUAUAUAUAUUUUGUGUUUGUAUUUCAUUUUCUAUAUACAUAGCGAAGUUGUGAUAAGCAAAUAUUAUCCCAUUGAUUGUCUAAGUUCAAAUUGAUGAUAAGUGGCACUGUAAGAAUGUUUACAUUACGAGAAAGACAACUUACUUCAGUAGAUAAUUUAAACGAAUCCAUAAUCCCGUAAAAGAAUCAAAGUGAGCAUUUGAUUCAAAUACUUAGAAGGAUUAUUAUGUUGUCUCCAAUUCCAAUUAAGGAGAUGGUUAGUCUUGGCUAUCAGAACAGUUGGGUCUACGGGUAGAGAAAUACAUGUACUCAUUGAAAGAAUGAUACAUUGGACUGGACCCAAGUUGAAUUAAUUCUGAAUCCAUUUGUGAAUUGAUUCACUUGUGGCGUUCAUGGUGUGACUUACCUAAAUCCUGGAUUAGUCACUGACCAUGCGUAUGUGACUCAUGUGCUUUGAUAUAAGUGGAGGUUUAUACUCUAAAGAUGAUUGAGCCGAUAGCCGGUAUGUUGGUUACAUGACUUUACUAGUAACAAUGAAAUUCAUAACUCGAUUAAAGAGUUAACGAUAUCUUCUCAUUUGCAUUGUUUGGAUUAAUAAAUAUGAAACAUGGUCACGGGUUGCUUGUUCUCAAAUGAGCAAUUUAUCAUGAUCGUUAGUUGACAGUGAUCAUAUUAAUCAUUAAGAAGACACAAUGGUAACAAUGGAAUAAAAUAGGAUUAUAUUGAGUGAACGAAUUUAACUCAAAUGAAUCAAUAAUAUCAUAUGAAAGUAACACACAUAUGACGAGGUCAUUGGAUAAAACAAUUGGAUGAAUUAGUUUUGUAAAGUGUAAACAAUAAGGAGUUUUCAAUCAUGGUACUUUUUGUGGACUGACUCAAUAAUUAAGUAAAUUACAAAUUAUCAGAAUGAUUCCUUUAGAUAUAAAUGCAAUUACUCGAGUCUAAUUGUAUAUGUCUGUUUGGUCUCUCCACUAGCUCAAUAAAAGCUCGACCGGAUUGCAUUUGAAUUAAAAAAAUUUCUACAACUUCGAAAAUAAUUUAAUUGAGUCAAUUUAUUCGAUGAUAAAUUAAAUUAGACAGUCGUGAGAAUUUGUUCAACUAAAGAAUUUAAUUAAAGAUUUUUUUCAAAAAUUAAUUUAGAAAAUAUCAGUGCUUUUUGAGAAAAUUAUUUUUUUAUCAAGUAAGAUUAGAUUAAUUAAAAUAAAUAUGAUAUUUUUUAAAAUUAAUUUUUAAGUCAGACAAUUAGCCCAAUGGGUAAUUAAACUUAAAAAUUAGACCUAAGAUUAAAAAAUUGAACCCAAGACCGAAACCCAAAAAUUGGAUGAACCGAGCUGUGUAUGAAACUGGGCUAACGAUCCAAUCGGUGGCUGGACUGGAUCGACCAGGCCGUCAUUGGUCCAGACCGAAUCUACUGUCACACCAACCAGACAUGCGAAUGUCUAACCCAUGGUGCCCCAACCAUGAUAGCAAGCUAUUCAAACAACUUGCUAGGGGUCUUGGCCAACCCCAUUGUUAGCAUCGGACUAGGUGUGCAAACGCCUAGCCGAGGGAUGUUGCACCCUGUGCGACUGGUCAUGCGAACGAUCGACCUGAGAAGACACCUAUCAAUUGGGAAAAAUGGGAGGUUGGGCGUAGAGCUAGCUGUUCAAAGGGCUAGCUCCACCCUAGCCAUGACACAGACGGCCUCGUAAGGAGGCACCGAGCCGACCAGACCCAUUCGAGAAAAACAAUGAUGGUUCGGGGUGCUAGGGGGAAGUUGCGUCGACAAUGACACCAUCAGGCACGACGGUUGUGAUGACAACGAUCCGACGACCGAUAGAUGGUCGAUGAUAAUGAUUCUUUGACGACAUAUAGUAUUUUAUUAAUUUAAUAUUAAUGUGAGAUAUUAAAUUUGAUUUAAUAUUUGUGAUAAUAUUUCUUAAUUUAAUAUUAAUAUAACUAAUUUCAAUCCUAAUUUAUCUGUAUCUAAACUCUCAGUAUAAGAAGAGUGAACCAUUAUUUUGAUUAAGAGCGAGCCACAAAAUACAAAUUUUGAUUAGUUAUUUAUUAGCAAAAAAGAAUUGCUGCAGGUAACCUAAAAACUAUUAAUUAAUUAUAUACAAAGUCUCGUAAGCUUCUCUUCCUUAUCUAGGGUUUCACAAAAAAUUCAGAAGUAUGAUAUCGUAAAUCUUUUUUUUAGACUUUAGAUCCUCCAUCGAGUUGCUGCAAUGGCCAGAGGAAGAGGUGAGGAAGAUGAUGACAUUGAAGACGAAGAGUACGAAGAUGACGACCAAUUGUUGGUCGAUGAGGAUUACGACGAGGACGAAGACGUAGGGAGAGGCCGUGGCAGUUCAAGUAAGAAGCGGCGGAGAUCUGAUUUCAUCGAUGACGUGGCAGAGGAGGACGAUGAGGAAGACGAAGAUGAUGACGAUGACGAUGAGCUUUAUGGCGGUGGUGGGAAAAAGCAUAGCAAGGCUCCUCGUGUUGGCGCUCAGUUUUUUGAUCUUGAAGCUCAAGUCGAUAGCGAUGAGGAAGAGGAAGAGGAUGAGGGAGAGGACGGUAAUUUCAUGUGCUUAAUUUUGUUCUUGAAAUUGGUAAUGAAGUGGGAAAAUUGAUGAUUAAUGUGCUCUAAUUGAUCAUAUAUUGAGAUAAAUUAAAUUAAGUUAUUUUUUAGAAAUUAUUUUCAAAUUCAAAACUUAAAUUUAGUUCAACUUCAAUAUAGUUCAACUUAAAUUCAAAACUCUUUAGGUGGUUGUAUGUCAUUCUGAUAUCUAAGCAAUUAUCAGAAUGUUGUUUUCAACAUUGUUAUGGUAGUGUAAUUUAACAUCAGGAAUGACUUUGGUAGUUUUCCAACCUUUUCCUUCUGAACGUGUCUGUCGAAAAGUCUCAUUCAUUACAAUGAACUCUUAAUGUGACUAUUAUUGGCUAGGCAAGGCCGAAAUAAUGCUACAUUGCAUACUUGGCAUUUGAUGCUUGCAGAUUCAAGGAAUUCCUCCUUUUUGAACAUAAUCACUCAAUUUGAAAAUUUGCUACUUCGAUAAUUGUUAAAAUCUCAGCGAGCUCAUUGUUUUCUAAUUGUUUUUUUAUUCUAAACUUUUAUGUGAUGAAUCCCUCUUUCAUUACAUUGAAUCACAAUCAUUUGUAGGAACUGAAGAAGAGUUCAUUUCUGCAUAGUUCUUGAUUCACUUUUUACUGUUCUGUUGCAUUUGGACCUGUAUUGGGAUGGUUUGUAUUCAAUGUUUUGCAAGUUCUAAGAAUACUUCCUUGUUUUGAAAUUUAAAUUAUUCAAUUGCAAUUUCAAGGUUUUGUUUUUUCUUUUACUCCUCCCCUGGUUAUUGAGUUCUAAUUUAGUCAUUUUUUUAUGCUUCUUAGUUUUUAGCAUAUUAUUCUUGAGAAUCUUUCUAUUCCACCUAUAAUCAAUUCGUUAUAGCUCCUGCAGUAGCAGUAACUCGGAUAGAAAUGAUGUGUAGAAGCAUUCAUGUGAAUAGCAUGGCUGGUAUCAUUUGUUCACAUUUUCAAUGUUUUGCCCCAAACAAUAUUGCUUUCAAUUAUCGUACAUGUUGCUCUGAUUGAAAAAGAUAAAUGCAGUUCAGAUUGACUGAUGAGGCAUGCAUAAUCAGCACAAUGAUUUGAUUUGGUAAACCCUUAUGGAAUUGUCAUAGAAAGCUAUUUCACUGAUAAGAGUGUAAUGAAUAAGUGGCAUAUCUUAGUAUGGUGAUUUCUGUUGAACCUUCUAUUUGUGCCUGGUUUUUCAUCCUUGAUUUUCUUAAUGUUGCUGAUAUAUUGAUGUCUGGAAAUUCAGAUUUCAUAGUUGAGACUGGAGCUGAUCUACCUGAUGAAGACGUUGGUAGAAGGAUGCACCGUCGCCCAUUACCACUCCGGGAGGAUGAACAAGAAGAUGUUGAAGCUCUUGAGAGAAGCAUUCAGGCUAGGUAUGCAAGAUCAAGUCACACAGAAUAUGAUGAGGAGACAACUGAUGUGGAGCAGCAAGCACUUUUGCCUUCAGUAAGAGAUCCAAAGCUGUGGAUGGUGAAAUGUGCGGUAUGAUGAUGAUUUCCUGUGCAGUUUAAGUUUUGAAAACUUGUUAUUGGGCAGAAAUGGUUAGUACAUUAGCUGCGGAGUUCAACUAAGAUCAUGUUCAUGCAUGCUAGAUUGGUCGUGAACGAGAAACUGCAGUUUGCCUCAUGCAGAAAUGCAUUGAUAAAGGAUCUGAACUACAAAUCAGGUCUGUUAUUGCCCUUGAUCACCUUAAAAAUUAUAUUUAUAUUGAAGCAGACAAGGAAGCCCAUGUGAGAGAGGUGUGCGAUCUUUUAUUCUUUUGCUUUAAUUUUUGGAUGGAUAUUGUAGCCUUAGAUGUCUACAUAUAUUUCUGUUGACCAAUUUUGAUCAGCUUCAGGCUGUGAAAGGUCUGCGUACCAUAUUUGCAGCAAAGAUUAUGCUUGUUCCAAUAAGAGAAAUGACUGAUGUUUUAUCAGUGGAAAGCAAAGCGGCUGAUCUUUCUAGAGAUACCUGGGUCAGAAUGAAGAUUGGGACAUACAAGGGUGAUCUUGCUCAAGUAUGCCUUUUGUCUUUUUCUACUUUCAUGAAUAUUCCCUUUUGAAAAAUCUUAGUCUGACUGUGUAAUUUCUAUUUCAUAGGUGGUUGAUGUGGAUAAUGUGCGGCAGAGAGUCACUGUGAAAUUGAUUCCUAGGAUUGACUUACAGGCUCUUGCUAAUAAAUUGGUAUGGAAUUGAUUGCAUUUGUUUUAGGUGUUUAUCUCAUGGAUUGUGCAUGUUGAAAGCCUUACAAUAAGAUAGUGUUUUAAUUUUCCAAUGCAGGUAUAGUUUGUUAGUUGUCUAUAUAUGAUUGUAUUUUAACUGAUUUACAUGAACUAUUUGGCUUUCUUUCCUGGUUCCAUCAUCUUUGAUCUGGUCUUAUACUGUUUCAUACAGGAAGGAAGAGAAGUUGCAAAGAAGAAAGCUUUCGUCCCUCCUCCUCGUUUUAUGAAUGUUGAUGAAGCUAGGUAGGUUAAAUGGUUCCAACCUCUAGUGAAAAAUCUACCACAUUUAUUUGUUUCAGAAAACUUAAGCUCACAUGUCUUGAUAUUUGUGCUUUUUUUAGGGAACUUCAUAUUUGUGUAGAGCGCAGACGAAAUUCGAUCACUGGUGAUUACUUUGAGAAUAUUGGGGGCAUGUUGUUUAAAGAUGGGUUCUUGUACAAAACGGUGUCGAUGAAGUCAAUUAGUGCUCAUAACAUAAAACCAACGUUUGAUGAACUCGAAAAGUUUCAGACACCUGGCAAUAAUGGAGAAGGUGAAAUGGUUGGUUUAUCAACUUUGUUUGCAAACAGAAAGAAAAACCAUUUCUUGAAGGGUGAUGCAGUUAUUGUUGUCAAGGGAGAUCUGAAAAUUUUAAAGGGAUGGGUUGAAAAGGUUGAGGAAGAGAAUGUCCAUAUUAGACCGGAAAUGAAACUGUAAGAAUUCAGUCAAUAUUGGUAUUCUUUGAGUUAAGUCUUUGAUCACUAGUGUGCAUGUAAGAUAUCUUAUUGCUAGGUCAUACUUGGCCUUCAAUGAUGUUUUUCAGAAAACUCUUGCUGUUAACGAAAAAGAGUUGUGUAAGUACUUUGAGCCUGGGAAUCACGUGAAGGUUGUUUCUGGGACGAAGGAAGGUGCAACCGGUAUGGUUGUCAAGGUUGAGCAGCAUGUUCUCAUCAUUUUAUCUGAUACAACCAAAGAACAUGUAAGUAAUACAUCUUUUGAAGUCUGGUCCAGACCUAAAGAAUAUCUUUGUGGAAAAAUAAUUGGCAUUUCUUAUAUUAGAUCCAUGUUUUUGCUGAUGAUGUCGUUGAGAGCUCUGAAGUAACUACUGGUGUUACAAAAAUUGGGGACUUUGAGCUUCAUGACCUUGUGCUACUAGAGUAAGUAGUUUUUCGCUGAAGGAUUUGGACUUGUCUUUAGUUAAUUUGGGGUCUUAAGGUAUUAAUUAUGUUUCAGUAACAAUAGCUUUGGAGUAAUUAUACGUGUAGAAAGUGAAGCAUUUCAGGUGAGUGACCUCUCUUAAGUGACCGGAUUUUCACUGCUACUCUUUUGACUGUUCUCAUGGUCGUUUACUUUCUUUUAGGUUCUUAAGGGUGUUCCAGAGCGGCCAGAGGUUUCUCUUGUCAAAUUGAGGGAAAUCAAAUGCAAGCUUGACAAAAAAUUUAAUGUGCAAGACAAAUAUAGGAAUCCUAUUUCUGUGAAAGAUGUGGUUAGGAUACUUGAGGGUCAUUGUAAAGUAAGAUUCUCGUUUUUCAUUUUGGUUUGUCCUAGUAUUCACUUUAUGAAUUUUUAGUUUACUAACCAUCCACUUCUAUAAAUUUAGGGGAAACAAGGCCCUGUAGAGCACAUAUACAAAGGAGUUUUGUUCGUGUAUGAUCGACAUCACCUUGAGCAUGCUGGGUUUAUAUGUGUUAAAGCUGAUUCUUGUUGUAUAGUGGGAGGAUCACGUUCCAAUGGGAACAGAAAUGUUAGUCUUUUCUUUUCAUUUUUUCGCUGGUUAAUUCAUGUGUAAUUAACACCAUUUAAUUGAGGUAGUGAACUUGAUUCAAUCUUUUAGGGUGAUUCUUUCUCAAGAUUUGGUAGCUUCAAGACUCCACCACGUGUACCACCAUCACCAAGGAGAUUUGCUAGGGGAGGUCCUCCAUUUGAUUGUAUGUUGGUUUUGUCAUUCUUGUUUGUACAAACAUGGUUUUUGGAUUUGUCUGAAUUUUCAUUUUCUCUAGUUAAGUGAUUAAGUUUCAGUAUAAGCUUGAUGCUAUUAGUUUCUGCCUAUUCAAAACAGCCAGCGGGAGACACAGAGGUGGAAGAGGAGGGCAUGAUGCUUUGAUUGGUACUACUGUGAAAAUUCGACAGGGUCCUUUUAAGGGUUACCGUGGACGUGUUGUAGAUAUUAAAGGUCAAUCAGUUAGAGUUGAGUUGGAGUCUCAAAUGAAGGUUGUUACAGGCAAGUUCAGGUUAAUGUUCGAAAUGUUUUCUCCUUUUCUCUAGCAUCUUUAUGACUUAUAGAACUUGUUCAUGUCUGCAGUUGAUCGCAAUUUUAUAUCUGAUAAUGUGGUUAUUUCAACACCCACUCGGUAAAUAUGAUUUCCUUGGCAUCCAUUUUGUUGUUUCUUGACUAUGAAAGCUCUCUUCUUACGUGUUCUGAUGUUGUAUGUUUUAUUUUUUCACCAGUGAUACAUCUCGAUAUGGUAUGGGAAGUGAAACACCUAUGCACCCUUCACGAACUCCUUUACAUCUAUAUAUGACUCCUAUGAGAGAUCCUGGAGGUACCUUUUUUUUCAUGUAUUUAGUGUUUUCUUGUGCUUUUCAAGUGUGGAUACUUCCAUUAAUAACUGAUAUUGUUAUAUACUAGGACCAUAGUAAUUGGUUACUUUUAUGUUCUCUGUAGCAACACCAAUCCAUGAUGGCAUGAGAGCACCUAUGCGUGACAUGGCAUGGAAUCCUUAUGCACCAAUGAGUCCACCCAGGUUUAUUUGUAGAUUCCAUUUAUUGAGUGCAUCCUGCCUCAGUGGUUUAAUCAUGCCUGGUUAACGAUUGGUUUUUUAUUAUUAUUAUGACUGCAAAUUAGGGAUAAUUGGGAGGAAGGAAAUCCUGCCUCUUGGGGAACUAGUCUGCAGUAUCAGGUUAGAUUUCUUCCACAGUUUGGUGCCAUUAGUGAUAUAGCUAUUUUUCCUAACUGAAAGUAUAUGAAUUUGAUUCGUUCGUUGUGAAAUAACUGUAAUGCUGUUCCUUGCAGCCUGGAAGUCCUCCUUCAAGGGCAUAUGAAGCACCUACUCCUGGUUCAGGUUGGGCUAGUACUCCUGGUGGUAAUUACAGUGAGGCUGGAACACCAAGGGAUAGCAAUUUGGCUUAUGGUAAUUAUAUUUUGGCUUACUUUUGCUAUUUGAAUGUGUUGAUGUUCUUUAGUGUUGCACUGUUGCUCAUAUUGUAUGUUUGUUUCAGCCAAUGCUCCUAGUCCUUAUAUGCCAUCAACUCCCAGUGGGCAGCCUAUGACGCCAAGUUCGGGAUUCUAUAUUCCAGGUACACCUGGAGGGCAGCCAAUGACACCUGGAACUGGCGGUCUUGAUAUUAUGUCUCCUGUAAUAGGUACUUUUUCUGUCUCCCCCACCUGUUUUUUUUAGAAUACUGAACAUUUUUUAUUUGGGUCAUUGCCUGGAGGUUCUGGAUGUUUUUAUGGGAUUUAAAUUUUAUUUCCCAUAUAAUUCAUUAAUUCUUUUUAUACCUGAUCUGUUUUGGUGACAAAUGCUGAAUAACUUACCUUUUUGAUCAGUUCUUAAAAUUUCUUUUAUUAGUUCUCUGUUGUUAAUCUUGGAACCCAUUUUGAGUUUGUACCUGAUCUGUUUUGGUGACAAAUGCUGAAUAUGCUGAAUUUUGACAUCUGAAGCCCCAAUGCCGCAGCAAUGUCGUAGCAUCGAGCUUGACAGGAAGAGAUUGAGAAGUUCACACUUAAAGAACAUCACAUCAGCUUUUGGGCUUAACCCAUCUCUUAACAAAUGUUGAUAAUGACCAAUAAUAAAAAAGAAUAGGCUAUGAGAAAAUAUAAAGGCUCAAACACUCUCAAGAGGAGAAAAUUAGAAUAGGACAGUGAGUUAACCUAGUCCACAAUCUUUUGGGGGAUAUAAAUAUCACACUUUGAGAAAAUAAAGAGGUGAGACCGUCGGGUGCAAAAAAAAAACAGAACAUCAAUUUUCAGAAGGCAGCACGUUGGAGAAGAAGAGGAUCCGAAGAAGGAAAAAAAGAGAAGAACGACUGGAGGAGAACCACAUCAUUCGGCUUAUCAUCUCUUCACCUUUCUCUUUGCCUUGUAAUCAUUUUCCUUUGCUAAUUUGAACCAUGGCUGAGUUUUGCUUGAUUGUUUUUAAUUUGAUGAUUAUGGACUAAAUAUUUAUUAGCUAGAAUAAUUAUGGAACCCUAAUAUGAGAUUAUUGGUAUUUUGAUAAGUAUGCUUGUUGCAAUAUGAUGUUUAUUCAUUUAAGUGUUAUUCAUGUUUAAGACUUGCUAUUGCUUGAUCAACAUUAAUGGGUAAUUGAGUUAAUUGUUAAUUCUGAAAAGGUUGUGAUUAAUGAACAUAAAACUUGAAUAGUGCAUGUUUAGUUUCUUUAUUUUUAUAUGUGUAAUGAUAUAGACAUAUAUUGUUACAGUGCAUAAUCCUGUAAGAAUGGUGCUUGUAGUUGUAUUCUUGAAAUUAAUUUGGCAUAGACAUAUGUUAAAUUAGUUAUAGGAUUGAACAUAGUGACUUCGAGAGAAGCCUAUAAACUGUCGAUUUCAGAUUAAUAAAUUGUCGCAUUGUCGCAGCAUCAUUACCGGUAAUUGCAUGUUAGGGGGAAAUAAUUAAUCUGGCUCUUCAAUUCAUUGAUGUUAAUUUGUGUUGCUAUUUUUAAAUUUAUUUGCAUAUUUAUUUGAAUUUAAUCAAUUUUUUAUUUACUUUCCAAAUUGUCAUUUGUUAAUUUUGCAAUUAAUGUUUUAAAAUCAGUCCAUGUGGAAACAGUAACUCUAGUAUUUACUAUUAUAUUACUUGCUAACGAUUGUGUACACUUGUAGUUAGAGGUCGGGAAAUCAAUCGUGAUGGCUCAAUCACAAGGGGUAGACAGUGAAGAGAAAAUGAUCCAAUAGUACAUCGUCCCCAUUGAGUUUCAGGUAAAAUUUCGAGGACGAUAUUUCUAAAUGGGGGAGAAUUGUAAUGACCAAAUUUUUAUUGGUACCGGAAAUUGUUGUUUCAGAACCUCAUUCCAUAAACUGAGUCUCUAAAUAUUAAAUAUGAAUAUUUAUGGAGCUUAUAUAAAAAUAUAUUAAAGAUUGAUUUAAUAAAUUUGUUGAAUUAAUAGUUAAUUAUAGCCCAAUGACUAAAUUGUAAUGUUCACUCUCUAUAGAUUUUUAAUUAGGAAAUGGCUUGGGCACUUAAAUUGCAAUUAUCCAAAGGACCAAAAUGAUUAAUCAUGUGCUAGUGGACAAUAAUGUGUGUGUUAAUUAAUUUAAGAAAUUGAAGAUUAAUUAGUUAAGUAAACAUAAUUAAUUAAAUAAAUUAAGCUUAAUUAACCUUUAAGCCAUAAGCCAUGUAUAAAAGCUAAAGUAACUUAAAAAGGUUUCCUUACCUUUCGACUAUAACUUGGUAAGUAAAUUUAAGUCAUUUUCUUGUAAUUUUUGUAGAUUUAAGGUCAUGAGAGCUUGAUUUAGCUAGCCUAUGUACUAAUUUUUGAAACUGUUAAAGUUUUAGCAAGUUUUCAUUAUUGAUUUCUUGAAGAAUUAGGUGUGGAAUUGAUUGAAAUUAAGCUUAGUUUAUGGAAAUGACUAAAUUGUAAAGCUUAAUUAUUGAUUUCGUAUAUUAGGGAUUAAAUUGAAUUAAAUGCAAAAAUAUUAUGAAAUUUUGUUAGGAAUAUAAAGUAUAGGGUCACUAAUGAAUAUAUAUGAAAUCUAGUUUUAAUCUGAGGCUAGAAAUUAAAAGAUAUGUUUAUUCCGAAUUUAGGGACUAAAUGGAAUAAAUUGAAAAAUAUGCAUGAAUUGGUAAUUGGUUUUGAAUUGGCUGAAAAUUUAUAUUGAUAUAUGUUUUAUGAUCAUAUGUAGCUAACGUCGGCAUUGGGUCAUCGAAAGGGAAAGUGAAAGCAAGAGUCGUUGACGAGUGACACGAGACCCCUAGUUUGUAUUUCUAUGGUUCAGGAUCAAUUUAAUUACUGCAUAUUCAUGACAUUUUGCAUUAUAUGGUGUUGAGGUGAGUUGUCAAUGGUUAUUUGAAUUGAAUUGCUGUAGUUGAGAUUUAAUAUCGAGAUAUUGACCAAAUCGAAUAAAAUGAAAGAUGAUAUGAAUUAUCUUGAAAUGUGAUAUAUGUUAUGGAAGUUGAGUAGAAUAUGUGUAAAAUAUGAAUAUAUGUGUUUAGAAAAUGAAAUGUAUCGUGGUUAUGAAUGUGAUUGAGUGCAUGUAUUAGAUUAAAUUGUAUAACGAUAUUGAAUGUCAAAACUCUGUACUGGUUGAAUAUUCGAAAAAUGAGUACAACACAGUAUGUUGAAUGGUAUGUAAUGUAUGAAUUAUAUUGAUGGUGAGAUUGAAUUGUGAUAUAUGGUUAUAAUGUAUAUUGAUUCGAUGUUACCUUAAAAACAAUCUCGAGUACCGUUGAAUUAGUUGGCAUGCCUUAGGUUGAAAACAAUCGUUGUCGAGCUAUUCGGGAUGGUAGGAUAAGUAAUUUGUGAAAACCAUCAUUACUGGGCCAGCCGGGAUGGGUAAAUGUAAGAAUAGUGAAAGCUAUCGUUGUCGGACGAUCUAGGAUGGUAGAAUAUUGGAUUAGAGAAUCAUCAUUUUCGGCCCAUACGGGAUGGUAGUAUAUUGAAAUAGAGUAAACCAUUGUUUUUGAGCCAUCGGGGAUGGUAAUAUAUUGUAUAUUUUGAACCAUCAUUACCGGGUCACCCGAGAUGGUAUAGUGAAUAUAAAUAGCAAAAGUCAUCAUUUUCGGGCCACGCGAGAUGACAAGAAUAGUAUAAAAAGAUAUGGGAUGUUGAUAAAUUAGUAUAUUAUGCUUAUAUGUGUGUUAUGAUAGAUGAGGUGUGUAAAAUACUAUAUGAAUCAGUUGAAAACGAGCCCUGGGGGCCAAACGAAUAUGAAUGAGUCGAUAGACUUCAGAAAGCGAUUGGAUGGUGGGUUAGACAAUAUAUAGAUGUUAAAUGAAAAUAGAAUUGAAUGUAUUGGAAAUGGUUUAUAGAUAGGUAUUUGAUAAAUGACUUGAAUUGAUUUUACCAUUGAUAUUAUAUACCUUGUGAUUAUUUACUAAUGCAUAUGUUAUUUUAUCUUAAUUCAUGGAAUUACCACUGAGCGUUUUCGCUCAGCGUACGGUUUGUUUUCUCCGUGCGCAAGUUUAGUAGAUUUUCGAGAGUGCUAUAAGUAGAUCCAACAUUUAGGAGGCGAUCCCCGACUCAACAAAGUUCAUAUAGUUUCGUUUCGUUUCAAAUAUGGCAUGUACCUAGGUCGAGUCAAUUUACGGUCAAAUUGAUGAUUUUGUUGUAUUGAGGCUUGAAUAGAUAGCUUGAAAAUGGUUAAAUGAUGGAGAUGCAUAUGCGAAUUGGCUUGCAUAAUUGGUUGUAUGAAAGUUGGUUAUUUUGGUAACUUAUGUAUGAAUGUAUGUAUAACAAAUUGCUUAAUAUAUGGUAGAUGGUAUAGUUGUUUAACUAAUAUAUGUGUUUAGGUAGUUUAAAGACAUAAGUGAUAAAAUAUUCUAGGAUUGAACCUUUGUAAAUGGUAUGGUUUGGUUGACUUGGUGCAUUGUAAUUAAAAAGAACUACUAUUUUAGGUGUAACUCAUUGGAGCUAAUUGGUACAUUGAGAAUCAACAUGUCACGUUGCAGCGUCAAGUAAGUGACGUCAUGACGAGAUCAAGCCACCAUGCCACAACCCGACGUUGAGCAUGGGUCGUUACAAUAAGGAGCCAAGUCAGUAUUUGGCAUCGCGGCAAGGAACCCUCGACAUCGCGAUGUCAACUUCGAAUUUUGUAAAUAUUAUAGUUUAGUCCUAAUUCACCCUCGAGUUAGCAUUAGAGCUUUUGCAAGCUUUUAUAACCAAUAAAGUAAGCAAAUUUAACUUCAAUAGUAAACUUUGAAACCAAUCAAAAUCUAUUAAUAGCAAAAUUUGAGAGUGGAUCUUAUUUUCCAGGUGUACAACAGGUAUAUAACCAAGGACUUUUUCAUACAUAAGUUUUCUCACUUGCAAGUUCUCAUCAGUAUUAUUUUUCCACAUAAUUUUAAUUGAGAACUUAUUCUGAAUAGAGUAGAGUUAUACUUACAGUUUUAAAACCUUGCAACUUCAGGUACGUCCAACUAUAAUGAACUUUAGAUAGAAUUAUCAUAUUUUAUUGCUCAUAACUAGAUUGUUAGAAUUAAGUGACUCGAAUCCUUAUUUAAAUAAAAUACAGUGGUAAAAUAAAAUAAAAGCAAAAUCCAUAUAGAGCUACACUUCUUUUCUUUUAUUUUAGAAUAAGGUUUUUUAAACAUUAUUAAACUCCAUCUAUUUGAUAUUGAUUAGAAUAAGGUGUUUCAAUCUUACUACACUUCUAUUAUAAUAUGGUUUUACAAGCCUAUAAAUAGACAUAGUCUACUCCUCUUGUAAUCAUUUGAAUUUGACAAUGUGAAUUUUCUUCUCCUCUGUCCGUGAUUUUUUUUCCCGAAAGGGUUUCCACGUAAAAUCUGUGUUCUUUAUUUUUUAUUUCUCUUUUCUUUGUGAUAUAUUGUCAUUAUCGACAUUCUAUUUAUUUUACAGAUUGGUAUCUAAGCUACCAGGUUGUUCAUCUCGAUCACGGUAAUGACAUCUUUGAAGUAUGAAAUUCCGUUGUUGGAUCGUAACACCAGAUUUGUGUUGUGGCAUAUUAAGAUGCAAGCAGUUCUUGCAUAGAUGGAUUUGGAGGAUGCCCUGCUAGGGAUAAAUAAGAUGCCUUCGACAUUAACGAAUGAAGAGAAUGAGCGUAAGGAUCGAAAGGCAUUAACACAAUUACAUCUACAUUUGUCUAAUGAAAUUUUGCAGGAUGUGAUGAAGGAGAAAACCACCGCUGCAUUAUGAAAGAAGCUGGAACAAAUAUGUAUGUUGAAAAUACUAACCAGCAAGCUGCAUAUGCAACAGCGUCUUUAUACUUAUCAUUUGGAGCAAGGUGCGUGUAACACCCUGAACCCGAGUCCGUCACUGGAUUAGGGUUACUAGGUAUUACCAAACAGAUUACAGCUCAAAACAGACAUUCAUUUCAACUUAUGAUCGUAAAUUAACCCUAUCAAUACAUUUAGCCCGUUUAAAUUUUAGAUCUCAAAUCACCCAUACUCAUCUCAUUUGCGUUUAAAAAAAUUAUUACCUAAGCUUAAACUAAUAUAUAACGUAUAUCAUGUAUAUUAUAAUUACUACGCAGUAUCACCUAGCAUAUAAACUCCAACAUAUUCAGCCUAAAUAACCUUAACAAAUGGUCAUGUAUGAAAUUUUUAAGCUUCAAAAUCAUGCACUCAAAUUACAAAUUUCAUAAUCAAGCCAAACCACAUUUAUUUAUUUAUUCACCUCAUGAACUAUUCAAAUAGCAUACUAAUCAAAAUUUAGCCAUUCACACGGCCUAGUAGCGUAUAUUUUUACACAAAAACCAUCAUUAGAAAAAAAAGAGACCAAAUACACCACUUCAUUCAUCAUGCGAUUAUGCGCUUAUGAUCAUUUUAUUUAAGCAAAUUUCUUUCACCUAUAUUGAAACAUAUCAUACCAUCACGAACCUAAUCAUAGUAAUUCAACCUUAAGUGAUUACAAUACUAGCAUAUACAUUUACCUUCACUAAUGAAUAUCCAAAUUCACGUACACAUCAAAUACUAACUCUCAAAUUAUUUCUAAUAUAAAAUUUCCUCAAAUUAUAACACCAUAACAAAACCAUCAAUCAAACAAACAUAGAAAAUGCCCAUUCUUGCAUUAGACAACCGAACUUAUAUAAUCAAAAUUCCAACAAAUAUAUAUAUCAUUUUUACAUUACUAAACUAAAUUAUAAAAAUAUCCACCAUUCAAUAUUUAUUCCACAACUCAUAUUUCCAAAAUUAACUGACUAUCAAACCAAGUUUUUAAUCUACAUAUCAAUUCUCCAUACCGAUUUAUAACCAACAUCUCAAUCAUAUAUAAAUAAAUAAAUAACCUACUUUCAUAAUAGUAUCAAGUUCUAGCCAUAUAUGGACAAACUUUAACAUUAUUACCAAACUAUAUAACCAAACACCAUAUAUGUAUACCAUGAAAUCCACUUCUAUAAUAAACUAUUGCCAUGACCGAAUAUGCAUAACAUUAAUAUCAAAAUUAGGCCAUUUUCGCAUGGCUAAAUAUCUACAAUUCAAAACAAAGCAUAUCAAGCUAGACUACACAUGCCAUAUGAUAUAAAUAAAAGUUUUCUUUCAAGGUACCAAAAUAGAUAGCGAUGGUGUGAUGAUGUUCCUCAACAAUCCCGAGCUCGAGCUAGCUUUCAAAAAAAAUCUAUAAAACAAAAAAUACACAUACAAAGUAAGUUUGGAAAGCUUAGUAAGUCAUAAGUAAUUAAAUUAACAAACGAACAUUAAUAUGGUUAUUUCAAGUAGGCCGAGUACUCCCAAUCUCAAACACAUGCAUUUAUAAUCAUAUUUAAACAAUUAGUUCACAAUUUCAUAUUAUACAACAACACCUACCUUUAUUAUCAAACUUUAUAUAAACUUAAACAUACCUGAAUCAUUUAAUUCAAACUUACAUUCGGUUUUUACCGUACCAUUUCCCGUUGAACCGUUCGGAAUCAAAUAGGAUACUCAGAUAACUCGAAAAGCUUGUACAAUGCCAACGUCCCAGACGUGGUCUUACAUGUAAUCAAAUAUCGAUACCACUGUCCUAGACAGUGUCUUACACGAAAUCAUAUACGAUGCUAAUGUCCCAGACAUGGUCUUACACGUAAAUCUCAAAUCGAUGCCAACGUCCCAAACGUGGUCUUACACGAGAUCACAUAUCAGAAUCCUAUGUCACUACAUAUGUAUCCUAUUUAUUCCUAUGGUUCAUACGGGGCUUUCGGACGUCGUAAUUUGAUCGAAUCGAGCUCGUAAUUAAUUCUCCCAUGCUUAUAUCAAAUUCGGCAUUUACCCAAAUAUAUUUAAUAAUUCAAUUCAGAACUUAUAAUUUAUAUAUAUUCGAUAUUAACAGCAUGUAUUUACUUAUGAACUUACCUCGGAUGAAGACGAACUGACCGAGACGACUAUUUGACAACUUUUGAUUUCCUCUUAUCCAAAUCCAAUUUCUCCUUUUCUUGAUCUAAUAAAUUCAAAUUUGGCUAUUUAAUAACACAUUUCAUUCAAAUUUAUUCCAAAAACAUAUAAAUGGGUAAUUUUCAUUUUAGCCCUUAACAUUUUACAUUUUUCAUAAUUUAGUCCCUAUUUCACAAAACACAAAAUACACAUACUUUAAAAAUAUCCUAGCUUGGCUGAAUAUUCCUAUAGCUCAUAUAAGCCCACAUAUUUCAUUUAUUUUACAUUUUAGCCCUUCAAUUUUUUAUUUUCACAAAUAAAUCCCUAAUUUGGAUUUUUAUCAAAAAUUACUUAACAAAAUUUAAUAAUCUAUCAACAAAUAUUUAUUUUUCAUCAUCAAACAACAAAAACAACAAUUUCUCAUCAAUGGAAAUUCACAAAAUACACAACCAAUUCAAAAAUUAGGACACGAGCUAGCUAGAAUACGAAGCAACGAUUUCAAAAAUAUGAAAAUUAUCAAAAAAACAAGCAAAAUACAUACCAAAUUUUAGCUUCCAAAGUGCAGAAUGCUUAAAACACAAAAUGUGUUUUUUUUUCUUCAACUUUCGGCAAGAACAAAGCCAAAUGCAUGGCAUUUUGUGUUUUGUUUUAUUUAAUAUUAUGUUAUUUACUAAUUACUAUUUUAAUCUUAACUAAUUCAUUUAAAAAACCAUAUGUCCAUAAAAGUCCACUCAUACUUUCAUUGGUAUAAUAUCAACAUAAGGACCCCACAUUAGAAAAGCCAUAACAAUAAAGCACUUUAACAAAUAGCUAGCCACUUUUGCAUUUUACGCGAUUAAGUCAUUUUUUGCAAAUUGGCGCAAACGAUAAAAUUAAUUUACGAAAAUUUCACACAUUUCAAUUCACAUACUAUAAGCAUGAAAAACAAUAUUAAAAUAUUUUUCUAACUUGGAUUUGUGGUCCCGAAAUCACUCUCUGACUAAGGUCUAAACUGGAAUGGUACAGUGCGUCUGUGUAGGAACACUUAACAAUGUUUAAAUAAAUUCUCUCAAACUUGGAGGACAUGGAGGUUCAGUAUGAUAAGGAAGAUCGAAGGUUGAUUCUACUUUGUUCGUUGCCCCCGUCUUAUUCAACCUUUAGAGACACGAUUUUAUAUAGCCGCAAGUCUCUCAUAGUUGAUGAGGUUUAUGAUUCUUUGACCUCGUAUAAUAAGAUGAAACAUCUUUUGGUUAAACCCGAGUCUCAGGGAGAGGGUCUCAUUGUUCGUGGGAGACAAGAUCGAAAUGCUAGUGAUGAUCAUGGAAGGACAUAGGAACGAAAUCCUCGCGGUAAAUCUAAAGGUAGAUCAAAGUCUUCAAAUAGAGGUAAAACUUUUAACUUCUGCAAGAAAAAAAGGGCACAUUAAAUCUAAUUGCUAUAAGCUGCAGAACAAGAUCAAAAGGGAGAUUGCAAAUCAAAAGGGAAAACAACCAAAAAAAUCCAUUGAAGCUGAUGUUGUAAAAGACUACAGCGAUGGUGAACUUCUAGUCGCUUCUAUCAACAAUUCUAAAGUGAGCGAUAAGUGGAUCAUUGAUUCGGGCUACACCUUCCACAUGAGUCCCAAUUAGGAUUGGUUUACAACUUACGAAUUAGUGUCCGAAGGUGUUGUUUUGAUGGGAAAUAAUGCUUCGUGUAAAAUUACAGGUGUUGGAACGAUUAAAGUUAAGAUGUUUGACGGAGUUGUCAGAACACUUAGUGACAUGCGACAUGUUCCAGAAUUGAAGAGAAAUUUAAUUUCGUUGAGUACUCUUGAUUCAAAAGGGUACAGAUACAUAACUAAAAGUGAGGUUUUGAAGAUUUCCAAAGGUUCCCUUGUUGUGAUGAAAGGCUAGAGAAAUACUGCCAAGUUAUAUGUUUUGUAGGGUUCUACUGUUACUGGUGAUGCAACUGUCCCUUCCUCUUUCUUGUCAGAUGAUGAUAUUACUAAACUUUGGCAUAUGCGUCUAGGGCAUAUGAGUGAGAAUGGCAUGGCAGAAUUGAGCAAAAGGGAACUUCUUGAUAGGUAAAGAAUUUGCAAACUUAAGUUUUGUGAGCACUGCGUUUUUGGGAAGUAAAAGAGAGUUCGAUUCACUAGAGGAAUUCAUAACACAAAGGAAACGUUGGAGUAUAUUCAUUCUGAUCUGUGGGCAUAUUUAUUGAUGAUUUUUCCAGAAAAGUUUGGGCGUUCUUCCUAAAGCAGAAAAGCGAUGUGUUUUUCGCAUUUAAUUCUUGGAAAAAUAUGAUUGAAAAAUAGACGAAAAAAUGAAUCAAAUACCUCUGCAUAGACAAUGGCUUAGAGUUUUGUUUUGAUGAGUUUAAUAAACUAUGCAAGUCAGAAGGGAUCGUGAGACACUUGACAGUUCGUCAUACCCCACAGCAAAAUUGUAUUGCAGAAUGAAUGAACAGAAUGAUCAUAGAGAAGAUUCGAUGUAUGUUGUCAAAUAUCAACUUACCAAAGUCAUUUUGGGCCAAAGUAGCCUCUACUGCAUAUUUUUUGAUCAAUCGAUCUCCAUCCGUUGCCAUUAAGAAAAAGACUUCACAAGAGGUAUGAUCUGGUAAUCUUGCUGACUAUUCUGAUUUAAAAAUCUUUGGGUGUCCUGCGUAUGCUCAUGUUGAUAAUGGAAAAUUGGAACUGAGAUCCAUUAAAUGUGUAUUUCUUGGUUAUAAAGCUGGUGUAAAAAGGUAUAAGUUAUGGUGUCCUGAAAAUAGAAAAGUUGUGAUUAACAGAGAUAUUGUUUUUUAUGAAACUGCUAUGCUACCUAACUUAUCCCUUAAAGACUCUUCCAAUAAAGAAAAUCAAAAGCAAGUGGAGCAUCAGAUUAAUCCAGAAUCUACAAUAGAGUCGACUCCUCAAGCUAGCACAAAAAUUCAUAAUAGAGUUGCUUAUUCACCAUAAUACUCUAUCGCCAAAAAUAGAACUAGAAGAGAAAUUAAACUUCCAAAGAAGUAUAACAAGGCUGAUCUAGUUGCUUAUGCUUUAAAUGUGGCUAAAGAUAUAGAUGCAAACCAAGAGUCAUCUAAUUAUUUUGAGACAGUUAGCUGUGAAGACUCGGAAAAGUGGAUGCUUGUUAUGCAAGAGGAGAUGAAAUCACUCCACAAAAAUAGAACAUGGGAUCUUGUGAAACUUCCUAAAGGUAGAAAAGUUGUUCGUUGUAAAUGGGUGUUUAAAAAGAAAUAAGGGACUCUAGGAGUUGAAGAACCCAGAUAUAAAGCAAAUCUUGUUGCAAAGGGUUAUAGUCAAAUUCCAGGAGUGGACUUCACAGAUCUGACUUCACAGUUGUGAAGCAUAGUUCGAUUUGAGCUUUGCUUGGUAUUGUGGCCAUACAUGAUUUGGAGCUUGAGCAGUUAGAUGUAAAAACUAUAUUUUUACAUGGAGAACUUGAGGAGGAUAUUUACAUGCAAAAACUAGAGGGUUUUACAGUCUCAGAAGAAAAGGACUAUGUUUGCUUGCUGAAAAAGUCCCUUUACGGUUUGAAACAAUCACCAAGAUAGUGGUACAAGAGGUUUGAUUCUUUUAUGACUUCUCAUGAUUUUAAAAGAAGUAGCUUUGAUAGUUGUGUUUACUUUAAGAAAAAUAAUGAUGGUUCUUCUGUGUAUCUACUCCUUUAUGUUGAUGACAUGUUGAUAGCAGUGAAAGAUAAAUGAGAGAUAAGAAAGGUCAAAGCCAACUAAGUGAAGUAUUAGAGAUGAAAGAUUUGGGACUAGCAAAGAAGAUACUUGGUAUGAAGAUUCUUAAAGAUAAAAAGCAAGUAAAUGGUACCUAAGUCAGAAGGGGUACAUUGAGAAAAUUCUUUGCAGGUUCAAUAUGCAGAGUGCUAAGCCUGUUAAUACUCCUUUAGCAGCCCAUUUCAGACUUUCAUCGGCUUUGUCUUCACAAUCAGAUGAUGAGAUUGAGUACAUGUCACAUGUUCUAUACUCUAGUACAGUGGGAUCUCUCAUGUAUGCUAUGGUUUGUUCACGUCCAGAUUUAUCAUAUGCAGUCAAUGCAAUUAGCAGAUACAUGACAAAUCCUGGUAAAAAAAGAUAUAUGGCAAAUCUCGGUAAAAAACAUUGGAAAGCAAUUCAGUCAAUUUUAAGAUACUUACGAGGUACUACUAAUGUUUGCGUACAAUUUGGAAAAACUAGAAAUGGAGUCAUUGGGUAUGUUGAUACUGAUUUUGCUGGAGAUCUUGAUAGAAUAAUAUCUCUCACAGGUUAUGUCUUUACAAUCAGAGGUUGUGCAAUCAGUUGGAAAGCCACUUUGCAAACUACAGUUGCUUUGUUUACCACUAAAGCUGAGUACAUGGCGAUUACUGAGGCUUGUAAAGAAGCUAUUUUGUUGAAGGGACUCUUUAGUAAACUCAACAAAGACCUUCAAAUCAGUACAGUAUUUUGUGACAGUCAGAGUGCCAUCUCCCUUACAAAAGAUCAAAUGUUUCAUGAGAGAACAAAACACAUUGAUGUUCGGUAUCAUCUUGUUCGUGAUAUUAUUACUCGUGGUUAUCUUGUUGUGAGCAAAAUUAGUACUCAUGAAAAUCCUACAGAUAUGAUGACUAAGUAACUUCCUAUAACCAAGUUUGAGCAUUGCUUAGACUUGGUUGGUGUUCAUUGUUGAAGUUAAACCCUUAAGGGGUUUUAUGGAAAAGAUGGAGAACUUGUUCGUUGAGAGUUCACGAUGAAGAACUUGUUCAUUGAGAAUUCAUGUCAAGGUGGAGAUUGUUAGAAUUAAGUGAGUUGAAUCCUUAUUUAAAUAAAAUACAGUGGUAAAAUAAAAUAAAAGUUUAGAAUUAAGUGAGUUGAAUCCUUAUUUAAAUAAAAUACAGUGGUAAAAUAAAAUAAAAGUAAAAUCCAUAUAGAACUACACUUCUUUUAUUUUAUUUUAGAAUAAGGUUUUUAAAACCUUAUUAAACUUCAUCUAUUUGAUAUUGAUUAAAAUAAGGUGUUUCAAUCUUACUAUACUUCUAUUAGAAUAUGAUUUUACAAGCUUAUAAAUAGACAUAGUCUACUCCUCUUAUAAUCAUUUGAAUUCGACAUAGUGAAUUUUCUCCUCCUCUGCCUGUGGUUUUUUUUUCCGGAAAGGGUUUCCACGUAAAAUCUGUGUGUGCUUUAUUUUUUAUUUCUCUUUUCUUUGUGACAUAUUGUCAUUACCAACAUUCUAUUUAUUUUACAUAAAUCUUUCCAAAUCAAAUAUUUUGCUUUCAACACCUUAAUGGGGAUGAUGACAAAAGCAUGUCAUAAAGAUAGUCACAAUCACUUCAAUUUAAGAUCAAGAGUAAUCAAUAAUUCAAUCCUCUUUUGAUUUAAAUGAAAUAUAAUAUUUUCCUUAUUCACAAUCUCAAUAUGAGAUCCAUUAUGAAUAUCUUUUAAAUCCAAUGGAUUAACCAUUACAAGAUAUUAAUAUAUUAGCUCUUCUAGAGCUUUCGACUAAUCUUGUACUACCAAAUAUUGGAAUAAUAUUGGUCUUUAUUUUCUUUUAUGCUUGUAUUCACUUUGGGUAAUGCAAUAGAUUUACUAGGACAAACUUAUAAACGUCCCAAUAGAUUCUUUAUUUCAUAAUCACCAUCGGAAACAUACGUAGAUUUCAAAUCAAAUUCUAUCUAUUCAUGUUUGUCAUGAUUAGUCUCCAAUUAUAAUAAACAUGAUAUAAUAAAUAAAUCAUAGUAAAAUAUACCUGAAGAUCUUUAACAACAUCGUCGUCACCUUGGUUAUUAUCAGGAGCAUUGAGUUGUUAAAGGCUCUAAUAAUUACCCAUAGUGCGCAGGCCUCAAUUGAAACAGCAGCAACCCUAGGAGACAAUAGACAAUAGACAAUAGAAAAUUUGGGGAUAUUCUUGUGACUUAUGGAGAAAAAAAAUAAAAGAGAAUCGUUUUGGUAACAUUUUAUAAAAUAAAAGGACAGAAAGUAAAGAACAAAGAGAAAAUGAGAGAAAAGAGAAUGGGAGAGCAAAGACAGAGCAUAUUUUAUUGAUCAAUCGGAAUAUUUACAAAGCUUCUCCAAAGUCUCAAUUUAUAGGCACAAGAAGUAUAAAUCAUGUAGAGAUCUACUUCUAAUGACUAUUAGAAUUUAAAGUAUAUAAAAACUUAUCUAGAUCUUGAUGGACAUCCAAUUAAUAAAAUAUUCAUAACAAAACUUUACAUUUCAGUGUAAUCAUUUUUAAUUCGCUAGUAAAUUCCAAUUAAGUCUUUAGCAUAAUAAUAAAUAGUUAAAAGUUUUACUUUUUUUAAUAUUAUUCAUGCAUCGGUCGAUGCACCAUGUUCCAAUCAGUGUGAUUGGAUUUGGUUGAAACAAGCCGAUGUAACCGAUAUGAAUCAGAAUUUUCACCAGUACAAAAAAAUAUGUUGGUUGUUCCGUUUUAAAAUUGGAUCAAUGUACUUUAAUUGGUAUGACUGGAAUUGAUGCAGAAUUGACCACCAUGUUUUUUCUACCACUCUCAUGGACUUUUUCAUUGUCCUUUCUAAUUCAAAACAAGAAAAGCUCGUAGCUAAACCACAAUAAUUCAGAUUUUAUAUGGAUAUUUUGUGCAUGAAAAUUGUUACUCGUAUUAUAUUUAUCAAGGUUGCAAUUGUACAUUCAAUACUAUGCUAAAGCUCUUGUCAACCAAUACCGAAAUUUUUUUUUUGAAUAAUCUUGAGAGAAAGAAAUAUCAGGUUCAAAAUUAGUAUUAUAAAGUUGAAUGAUAAUAGUACACGAAUUAAUUUUUAAUGAUAAAAAGAGGAGCUGGUUUUAUGUAUUAUAAAGUUAAAAACUAAUACAUGAUCAUAUUCAAAUCGUAAAACGAAUGAAGACACAUGUGAUUAUAAAAUAAAAUAACACAUGAUCAUAUUCACCACUUAUGUAAAUAUCUACUUUCAAUAAAAAAAAAAAGCCUAUAGCUCAUACAUCACUGAACUAGAGCUUAAACAUGUGAAGCUAAAAAAUAAAAUUAGAAUAACACAAUAUACAAUCAGAACUAACCAUUCAUCAAUUACACCAAAACAAAUAGGAAUCAUAUGUUCCAUCACAUCUAAAAUGAUUUCAAUCCUUUCUUGAUCCAAAUACACAUGCUCACUCACCUCUUUCUAGUCAAUUAACUCAAUCAGAGGUUCGAAAUAUUUUAAUUUGUAGUGAUAACAUAACUAUCCAAAUGAAUGGUCAUAUUUAUUAAUAAUAAACAUUAUUAUUCAAUAGACCUCUACUUGAAUAAUUAUGGAUUUUUAUAAAUAAUCAACAUAACUUUUAGUAACAAGAGACAUAACUCAUCUCUAUAAAUAGUGAUAAUUCUUGGUUGAGAACUCUUGGUUAAUAAGCAAGUGGCAUAAUUUUUAAAUAUUUUUAAUUUUCCAAUUAUAUAUUAUACAUAUUUUGAAAAUGUUUCAACAACUUAUAAUAACUUUUCACUUAUUUUUGCAAUUGAAGUUCUCAAAAUAAUUUCUAUAUAAGCUCAAUUUUGAAAGUUUUUGCUAAAAAGCAACAAAAAAAUAUUUAGAUAUGGAAACAGAAAAUAACUUGGAGGGUUGUGGAGUUGAGAAAUUAGGUACUAUUAUAGCUAUUGGCACAACAAAUCCACCCAACUGCUUUUACCAAGCUAAUUAUCCAGAUUUCUACUUUCGAGUGACUAAAAGUGAACACAUGACCCAAUUAAAAGACAAAUUUCGACGAAUAUGUAAGUAUCAUAGUUUUGUAAAAGCUAGGAAUGGAUUGUUAUUUUAUAUGUAAUCUUCCACCAAAUUACUUUUCCAUUUCCUCACUAAUAUAGAUGUAAUUUAUAUAUGUUACCAGGUGAGAAAUCUACAAUAAAGAAACGUUACAUACAGUUAAGUGAGGCCAUGCUGAAAGAGAAUCCCUGCUUAAUUAUCUACAAGGCUCCAUCCUUUCACGUUCGUCAAGAUAUGCUUGUAAAGGAAGUACCAAAGCUUGGUAUGGAAGCAGCAUUGAAAGCCAUCAAAGAAUGGGGACAACCCAUUUCAAAGAUCACUCACCUUAUAUUUUGCACAUCAUCAGGGAUAGACAUGCCUAGUGCUGACCAUAAGCUUGCUAAUCUUAUUGGCCUCAAACCCUCUGUUCAGAGAUUCAUGAUUUAUAAUCAAGGUUGCUUUGCUGGAGCCACUGCCCUGCACCUUGCCAAGGAUUUGGCCGAGAACAAUGCUAGUGCUCGUGUACUUAUUGUUUGCUCCGAGAACAUGAUCAUGAGUUUCCAACCACCUUCGGAGACCCAUUUAGACAUACUCAUUGGCUCCGCCAUAUUUUUUGAUGGGGCAGCGACUUUGAUUGUUGGUGCUAAUCCUAUUGUCAGCAUCAACGAGUGCCCUUUAUUUCAAAUUGUAUCAGCAAAUCAAAGCAUUAUCCCUGAAUCCGAUGAUUUACUAAUAGGAAAAAUACGUGAAAUGGGGAUGGAGUAUUAUUUAUCGAGAAAUUUGCAUCAGUACGUGUCUAACAACAUCAAGCAAUGCAUGGUCGAAGCGUUUACUCCAUUUGGAAUCAGGGAAUGGGAAAAUUUGUUUUAUAUAGUUCAUCCUAGUGGAGUAGCUAUUCUUAAUGGAAUUGAAGAGAAACUUGGGUUGAAUAAGGAGAGGCUUAGAGCAAGUAGGCAUGUGCUAAGUGAAUAUGGAAACAUGUGGGGUCCAAGUGUAACACCCCUAACCCGAAUCCAUCGUCAGAACAGGGUUACAGAGCAUUACCAAAAUUUACAGAUUGAUUUUUAGACGUUUCAUUUCAUCUAGCAUUCAUAUUUGAAACCAAUCAAAAUUAAAACAUUAAUGAGCCAACGUUGGCUAAAAUUAACUUAUACAUGCCAUUAUAACUAGAAUCAAAUCAUCCGAAAUUACCGGUAGAACCAAUGGAUAGUGUGAUAUAUCUCUGACAAGCUUCCAACCCAAUCGAACUUUUGAUAAUCUGUAGGGUAAAUAAAAAAAUACGUAAGCAACGAAUGCUUAGUAAGCUCAGUGUAGUCUUUAAUCAUAUUAGUUCUUUUAAAAUAUUAAAUCUAUACAUAUCAAGGAUAACCCAAUAUUAGUUCUUUUAAAAUAUUAAAUCUAUUCAUCAACUUACAAGGUGAAUAAAUCCACAGUAUCACUUAAACAUAUUAUCCCAAGCUUAGUAGGAUUUUAUAUAACUUUAACUCUUGAUAAUUUCUUUAUUUUCAUUUGCAUUUCUUCACUUUCCACGCUUGUUCCAUAUGCAUGUCACACAAGUCCUAAACAUAUCAUUCAACCAUGGUCACAAACUAGUGCAUUUACCCAGAUCCUUUCCUGAACUGAUUACAUGAUAAGUCAUUUCAUAAGAAAUUGCAUAAUUUAAACCAUACCACUUUUUCAUGAACACUAGCAUAUUUUCCUUCAAAUACUUAUCAAUUCAAUGCUUCCAUUAAAAAAAUCAAAUUACUAUUCAACCAAUAGCUUGGCACUUGCCUAAGCAUCAAGCAACAAUACUGAUUAGUGUACUUGCACACAUUACAUAUAAACUCAUCAUGCAUAAUUUUCUUGUUUCAACAUAUUAAAGAUAAUCAUACAUUUACAUGUCAUGAUACAUAUCAUUCUCUUAUCGUUUCUUAAUAGGUAUAUAUCAUUCAUUUCAUUAUUUCAAUAUUUCAUGUACCAUCAUUUUUAUGAAUUUCGCGUACAUACCGGUAAUAGUUCUCAUGUUAUCUCACUUCAAAACUUUACCCGUUAUAUCAUUUAAAUAUCAAUGGUUACAUUUAUUUUAGAUCAAUACCAAUAAUAAUCUAUAAAUCUUUCAAUUCAACCACAAAAGUCUUUUACCGUUUCUUUCUGUAUCGAAGAACGACUUACGGAUAUGAGUACAUCGUUUUCAGAAGCCCGAAGGCUGAACUUAAGCUCAUGAGAGCUAAACAGAUAGUAAACACAAAGUCUGCAACAAAUGCUGAACAUCGGUUUACUUGGGUAAUUUACUGUCAAUUCCUCCUUUACAUUUGUAAUGCCAUAGCCCAGUUAUGGUCUUAUCUGUCAAUUCAUCCUUUGGCACAGAACGAUUGUACUCAAUCCCGCGUUCAAUCCAAACUGGGUAUUAAAUUCGAUAAUAUAUUUCCAAUAAUAAUUCAAUUCCAUAUUUUCUAUUACCCUUAUUAUUUUCCAUAUUUAUCCCGUUGAACUACUUGGAAUUUCGAUGGAUUUUCAGGGGUACACCUAAGUGUACAAAUCCGAGUCCGUCAAUUCAUAUUCAUGUGUACACAUUUCCAUUUCAGAGAGCACACUCCCGCGAACCUCAUCCUUAUAGCGGGAUUACCAGUCCAGGCUAAAUCCCCUGUAAUAUAAACUCAUAGAGUAUUGUCGGGAUUACUAGUCUAGGCUAAAUCCCCUGCAAUGACAAUUACUCUAUGAGCUUGGAUCUGAAUUACCAAUCCAGGCUCAAUUCAGACCCUAAUUCGGAUUACCCGUCUAGGCUAAAUCCAUUUUCCACAUAUUCUUCGGGAGGGCUAUAUCAGGAUAGGAUCACCCAUCCGGGCUAGAUCCUUUUUACCAUCAAUUCCUUUUCAGAGAUCAUCGAAUUUUUCUUUCAUUCAACCGGGAUUUUCUUCCCCUUUUUAUAAACUAUAUCAUGUUUCAUCAAUUUUCAUAUAAUGAACAUUCAAAUCAUAUUCACAUCAAUAACCAUACAUUUCAAGCAUUUAAGAAUAUAAUUCAAGUUAGACAAACUUACAAGGCUAAAUUACAGAAUAACCAAAAUUCAGGGACAUUUUAAUACUUUUCCAUUUUCCUCGAAUUUCCACCCAUCUUGAUCUAAAUUAAUAUUUCAUUAAAUUUAUUAAUUUAAAUAAUAAAAACAAUUCAUUUCAUGCAAUUGGUCAUUUUUGACAUUUUUACAAAAUUACCCUUAAAAUUUCACUUUAUUCAUUUUAGUCCCCGAAUCUAAAACAUGUAAAUUAGCUACUUUAAAUAACUCAUAUUAUCUGAAUAUUCACAUAUAUUCUUUCAUCCUCCUCCACUCUAUUCCACAUCCUUGAUAUAUACAUAAUACCACUAUUUACUUGUUUACUCAUAACAAGCUGUUCACUUGAGUUAUAGUCACUAAUUAAUUAUAUCUUAAGCUACAGAACUUCAAUUGAGAUCCGAAAAUUUCCAUGAAACAAGACUCACAUAUAAUUUUUACCAUAAAAUUUUUCAUAAUUUUUGGUUUAGCCAAUAAGUACAGUUUAUUCUUUAAAGUUUUCCCUGUUUUUACUCUUUAACAGUUCUUACCCCUUUUCACUAAAAAUUAAUUAUCUCUUUGUACAGAAUCUCAGAUGAUGUUCUCGUUUGUUUCUAUUGAAAAUAUACUCAUUCAGAAUUUUAAACAUAUGAAUUUAAUCCUCUAAUUAUUUUUAUUUAUUUUUUUAUGAUUUUCCAAAGACAGGAACAGGGAAACCCAAAUUCAUUCUGACCUUAUCUCACAAAAUUUAUUAUAUCUCAUGAUUUACAAUUACAUUACUUACAACAUUUCUUCUAUGAGAAACUAGACUUAAUAAUAUUUAAUUUCAUAUUUUUUUCAUUCUCUAAUUCGAUUUUCAUAAUUUAUGGUGAUUUUUCAAAGUUAUCCUACUGUUGCUGUCCAAAACUGUUUUAGUGCAAGAUGUUUACUACCAUGUUUAUAACACCCUUACUUUCUUUCUCUACACUAUUUCUCAUCACUUUCUCUUAUUUUCUCUUCACUAACAUAUCAAGAACACAAGACCUUAUAUAAGAAAAACUCUACUAUAACAUUAAUUUCCUACUUUUUCAAUAAUAUCCCACUCAAAAAUAUAUUGAAAUCUUGAUGUUCUUACCUUGUGCUAUUGAUUUCAAUCUUUAACUUGAUUUUCUCUCUCCUCCAGCUUCUAUUUCUUGAAUCUAAUUUGAUAUUCUAGCUCCCCAUUGUCUCCUUAUUAUUUUUCUCUUUGGAAGCUAUGGAAAUUCUUUGAUUUCUAAGUGAAAAUAGUGAAUUUUUGGUAAAAGGACCAAAUUGUAAAGAAAAGAAAGUUUCUUUCUUUCUUUUCUCCCACAUGUUGGAAUGCAUGAGAGGUUGAUGAUGAUUUUCAUCUUCCUUUUCUUAUAUAUAUACUAAAUAAAAUAAUAAUAAAAUAAUAAAAUAUCAUUUAAAAAUCAAAUUAAAAUAUUAAUAAACUAAUAUUUAUUUAUUUAAUUAAUCUAAAAUAUCUCCAGCAUCAUCAUUAUCUUCUAGUUUUCUCUCUAUUCUAAUUGAACAUUUUGCCCUUUAUGAUCUUUUAAAAUUUCAUCCUUAAGUCAUCACUUAAUUUGGUAAAAUUGUAAUUUAGUCCCUCAAAUUCUUCACCUUUUUCAAGUUGGUCCUAAUCCAUCCAUUUCCUUAGUUUCUAGAUCAUUCCACCCUUAAAAUAUUUACACCAUUGGUCCUUUAAAUUUUUAUAUUUACACUUUAACCCCUCAAAUUUUGAGUAUUUACUCUUGGGCAACAAAACGUUUCUCACUUUUACGAUUUAAUCCUUUCUUGAACUAAUAUGUCAUAAUAAUACUUCCCAAUGUUGACAUAACUCCAAAUUUUCCCUUUUUGUCGCUUUAUUUCCUUAUUUUAUUAUAUCAAAGAUAAUAUAUUACUGUAAAAAAAUUUUUGGGGUAUUACACCAAGCGUGAUCUUUGUUCUUAAUGAGAUGAGGAAAAUGUCGGUGUUGGAAGGCAAAGCCACCACAGGUGAAGGUCUUGAGUGGGGCGUGUUGUUCGAGUUUGGGCCAGGUCUCACGGUGGAGACAUUGGUGCUUCGUAGCUUUGCUACAAAUUCAACACCAUAGUCCAUAGCUAUUGAUGGUGUGUGAAACUUUUUUUGUUCAACAAAAUUGACGGUGUGUGAAACAAUAUGUGAAUGUGAACAAGAAGAUUGAUACAUGUUUCUUUAAGAAAAAACUUAAAAACAUAAGUCUAGAACAACGAACCGUGAAACCUUUAAAAUAAUAAUCUUUAUAUAUUAUUGUUUAAGGUUUCAAUAUAUUUUGUUAGUGGAUUCAGAAAAAAAUUCCUUCACCCCUUAUGUAAAUAUCUAUUUUCAAUAAUAAUAAUAAAAGCCUAUAGCUCAUACAUCAAUGAACUAGAGCUUAAAAAUGUGAAGCUAAAAGAUAAAAUUAGAAUAACACAAUAUACAAUCAGAAGUAACCAUUCAUCAAUUACACAAAAACAAAUAGGAAUCAUAUUUUCCAUCACAUCUAAAAUCAUUUCAAUCCUUUCUUGAUUCAAAUACGCAUGCUCACUCACCUCUUUCUAGUCGAUUAACUCAAUCAGAUGUUCGAAAUAUUUUGAUUUGUAGUGAUAACAUAACUAUUCAAAUGAAUGGUCACAUUUAUUAAUAAUAAACAUAAUUAUUCAAUAGACCUCUACUUGAAUAUUUAUGAAUUUUUAGUAAUAAUCAACAAAACACUUUUAGUAACAAGAGACAUAACUCAUCUCUAUAAAUAGUGAUAAUUUUGGUUGUGAACUCUUAACUAAUAAGCAAGUGACAUAAUUUUUAAAUAUUUUUAAUUUUCCAAUUAUCACUAUUAGAAUAUUAUACAUAUUUUGAAAAUGUUUCAACUUAUAAUAGCUUUCACUAAAAUUAAAUAGGUGGUACUUGCAAUAAACUAAUGCCAAAGUAAGUAAUAACAUGAUCGCAGGCUACAGCAAGAAUUGAGAGCCACCAUAUUCUAUAAAAAUCUGAAGCUUGUGAAAGUACGAUCAAUAAUUACCAACAUAAUCGUGUAUGAAUUGUUGGACAAUUGACAUGGGUUUUUUAUAAGGUAAAUAGUAUCAUAUUUAUAGAUAUAUUAUUUUUAUUAAAAUUAAUACGUAUUAGUUUGUUUCGAUGUAUCCUUAUUUUUUAAAGAAAGGUAUUUAAUAUAUGUGUAUAAAAAUAUGCACAAUAUCAAAUAAAUAACACUAAAUAAAUUUUAAAUACAAAAUAUUCAUCAAUUAUAUAAAAUUUUCAAAAAUAAACUCUACAAAUAAAAUUCAUUAGUCAAUGGAUUAACAAGGAAAAGAACUUAAGGGUGAGUAGAGAUUUUUUUUUUUUGUAAUAAUGUGAAUAGGGGUUUUAUAUUUUAAUUGUGAAAGUAUGUCCUAAAACUAAAACCUUUAAUGUUUAAAAUGUUAAACUUUACUUUUCAUGUAAUCAUUUUGAUUCGUUAGUAAAUUCCAAUUAAGUAUUUAGAAUAAUAGUAAAUUAUUAAAAGUUUUUUUUAAUAUUAUUCAUGCAUCGGUUGGUGCACCAUGUUCCAAUCGGUGUGAUUGGAAUUGACCGAAAUCAGCCGAUGUAAUCGAUAUGAAUUGGAAUUUUCACCAGUGCAAAAAGUGGUGUUGCUUGUUCCACUUUAAAAUAGGAUGGACUCGGCAAAUUGGAGAUCUUGAAACGACAUGUUUUGGUUUGAUUUAAUUAAGUUUUUGUGAGUUAUAAUAAUCUGUUUAAUUUGGACUAGAAAUAAGUUUUAGGAACUGUGGUAUGGAUUUUGAUUUCGUUAGGACUCGUAAGAAUGCGGGAUUUUGGUUUUGAACGGAAGUUAUGAUUUAUCAUGCAUGGACUAUAGUUAAUCAAUUACUAUUCCUUUAUAAAGAACACACGAUUUCAAAAAAAUAACUUAUAGUUUCUGUUUUAAAAAUAAAUGAUGUAUUUUCUAAUGUACCUGAUUUUGAAAUUUCAGUUGACAAUUAGCAAAACUUGAAUUAUCUGCAAAAUGAAUAUUUACAAUUAUUAAAUUGGUUUUAUUUUAAUUCUAACAACGAUUAAACCCCUAAUUUGCAAAAUAUAAGUAAAGAUUUUAUUGGAUUUUGUUAAGCAUUAAAAGAAAAGGGUUUUCAAAAAGAGGUUUUUUAGAUUUGAUCAGUAUUUUAAUUUGGGACACUUUGGUGAGCAAUGUGACCUCAGGAAUUCGGUCGAAACUUCUGGGCUGAGUUUUGGGGUGUUACAAUAAAUUUUAAAUAUAAAGAAUUCAUUAGUUAUAUAAAAUGCUCAUCAAUAAACUCCACAAAUAAAAUUUAUUAUUUAAUGAAUUAACAAGAAAGAACUAAAGGGUGAGUAGGGCCUUUUUUUUUGAUAAUCAUGUGAAUAGUUAAAAGUUUUAUUUUUAACCUAAUAUUUUAUGUAUUAUAAAGUUAAAUGAUAAUAGCACACAAAUUAAUGUUUAAUGAUAAAAAGAGGAGCCAUUUUUAUGUAUUAUAAAGUUAUAAAUUAAUAUAUGAUUAUAUUCAAACCCUAAAUGAAUGAAGGCACAUGUGAUUAAUAAAAUCAUAUUGAAUAGCCAAAAAUACACUUAUCCUUAGAUAAGAUAAUUUGCCAAACACUAGUGAAAUAGGAUUUAAUCUUCUUGGAGCUUUAGGAUUUGGCAAGUUAGGUUGGUCAAAUGCUAAAAGUUCAUUAACAUUAUUGCCUAACUCACUUAUUUUUGCAAUUGAAGUUCUCAAAAUAAUUUCUAUAUAAGCUCAAUUUUGAAAGUUUUUGCUAAAAAGCAACAAACCAAAAAUAUUUAGAUAUGGAAACAGAAAAUAACUUGGAGGGUUGUGGAGUUGAGAAAUUAGCUACUAUUCUAGCUAUUGGCACAACAAAUCCACCCAACUGCUUUUACCAAGCUGAUUAUCCAGAUUUCUACUUUCGAGUGACUAAAAGUGAACACAUGACGCAAUUAAAAGACAAAUUUCGACGAAUAUGUAAGUACCAUAGUUUUGUAAAAGCUAGGAAUGGACUGUUAUUUUAUAUGUAAUCUUCCACCAAAUUACUUUUCCAUUUCCUCACUAAUAUAGAUGUAAUUUAUAUAUGUUACCAGGUGAGAAAUCUACAAUAAAGAAACGUUACAUGCAGUUAAGUGAGGCCAUGCUGAAAGAGAAUCCCUGUUUAACUAUCUACAAGGCUCCAUCCUUUGACGUUCGUCAAGAUUUUCUUGUAAAGGAAGUACCAAAGCUUGGUAUGGAAGCAGCAUUGAAAGCCAUCAAAGAAUGGGGACAACCCAUUUCAAAGAUCACUCACCUUAUAUUUUGCACAUCAUCAGGGAUAGACAUGCCUAGUGCUGACCAUAAGCUUGCUAAUCUUAUUGGCCUCAAACCCUCUGUUCAAAGAUUCAUGAUUUAUAAUCAAGGUUGCUUUGCUGGAGCCACUGCCCUGCGCCUUGCCAAGGAUUUGGCCGAGAACAAUGCCAGUGCUCGUGUACUUAUUGUUUGCUCCGAGAACAUGGUCAUGAGUUUCCAACCAC
This 75991-nucleotide long non-coding RNA is filed under the name Gossypium barbadense (sea-island cotton). RNAcentral describes it as "long non-coding RNA (GBAR_LNC022860)". Lineage: Eukaryota; Viridiplantae; Streptophyta; Magnoliopsida; Malvales; Malvaceae. The record is from RNAcentral.